ACACACACACACACACACAUUGCGUUUCUGUAAACACACACACUGUCUUUGCGCUAUGUUUUCCUUGUGCGCUUUAACGCAAAAUCACACAAUCAAAAUCACACACUCGUCCGCCUGCCCUAAGCCCCACCCCGCCCUGCCCAACCGCACCUGCCAUACCACGCCCACGCGCACGCGCUCCGGGUGAGCGGCGGCGGCGAACAGGCUGUGCAGCGUCCAGGCGCACUCGGGGUCGCGGUAGGCGGCGAUGGACACGAAGAUGCGGGGCCGCCGCCGGCCCGGCCGCCGCCCGACACACGCCAUACCACCACCGCGGUCGGAUGCAGCUUCUGCCGGCAUGGGGGCCUGCCCGGCAGCAAGGGAGCCGAGGGGCCCAGGGCUUGCAGCCGCAUCUGCGCCCGCCGCAGCUGCAGAGGUGGAGGUGCAGUCGGGCGAGGGUGCGGCUGCAGGCGCCGUGGACGUGGACGUACCCGGUGCCGCGGUGGUUGCAUCCACCGCCACCUGGGGCACAGCAGGCGGCUGUGGCGGCUGCGGCAGCUGUGUCGGCUGGGGCGCCUGCGGUGCUGGUGCUGGAGGCUGUGGCGAUGCUGCUGGUGGUGGAGGCUGCUGCGGCGGCGUGCGGUGGAACCAGGCGGUGAUUGCAUACCUGUAGAGUGAGGAGGGUGGGGCACGACGUGUUGCAUACGGUGUGUGUGUAUGUGUGUGUGUGUGUGUGUGUGCGCGCGUGCGCACGCGUGUGUGUGUGUGUGUGUGUGUGUGUGUGUGUGUGUGUGUGUGUGUGUGUUAAAAAACGAAACGAAAUCCCGCCCAACGACGCGACGGAGUUACUUACCGAUACCCACCAUUUUACCGAGCGUUGCGUGACUGUCGUGACCCAGGUAGUCAUACUUACCCGCGAUAAGCCUGGAACCCCACGGGCGACCAUUCGGCCUGACCCCGCGAUGCACCUGUAUGCGUCCAUGCUCCGCACCCUGGGCGCGCUAAACAGUGUGUGUGUGUGUGUGUGUGUGCGUGUGUCGGGACACACAAGGCGGAAGGGUCGACAUUGAGUGUGUAUGUGUGCACGUUGUGAAUGGAGCGGGCUGCACGGGGCAGGUUGCGACCCAAGGUCCCGCGGCUUCCCGCUUUUCUCCCCUCCCCUCAUCACCUGUGCCUGUGCGCCGGCAUCACCUCGUGCCACAGGUGGCUCUCAAACACCAGCAGCCGCCCACCCAGCGGCGCCACCAGCACCGCCGGCUCGCCGCACUGCAGGCCCGUGCCCGCAGCGCCGCGCCGCGCCACUGCCCCACGCCCCGGCUCGCGCGUCGCCCCCGCUGCCGCUCCUGCCGCUGUCGCUGCAGCUGGUGUUUCCGCUGCUGCUGCUGCUGCUGCUUCUGCUGGUACCAGUGCUGCUGGUACGGCGCCCGCAGCCGCCGCCCCGGUACCUGCCGCUCCGUCUGCAGCAGGUGCUGCGUGUGCUGCUUGCACCGGUGCUGCCGCCGGCCCGGCUGCCGGCGGUGUGGUGUGGGCCAUGCAGGUGGCGUGCGGCACAUUGUACAGCGCCAGGCAGCCGCCGUCCACCUGCACGGGCACAGCGGGGGAGAGGGCCAGGGGUUUUGAGGGCCCGGGUUGUUUGUCGCCUGCCACCCGCCCCUUCUCCUCCCGUCACUUCAGAACACAUCAACCCCAACCCUGACCCCACCCCCCCACCUGCGGCCCGCCUCUUCCCCACCUGCACGCCCCACCUGCGGGUCCCAGUCCUGUUCAUUCAGGUACACAAUGGCUGUGACGGCGCGGGUGGGGCAGCUGAGCGAGGCGUCUGCGUGCCGCACGUAGCGGGCGCCGCCGCCCGGGUACACGGCCAGCUGGUGGGUGGUGCUGCCGCCCACGUCGUACCUGGCCAGGGGUGGGCAGGGGGAGGGGGGAAUAGCAGGAGGAAAAUUGGGUGGACGGGGAGGGGGGAUACCAGGAAGGGACUUGGAGCACCUAAGGGGGGGGGGGGUUGGCGGGAGGCAUCCCCUACCCGGCUACUCGGCUUUUGCGCCUUCCAUCCGCCCCAGCCCCCGCGCUCUCUAAUCCCGGGUCCUGGUUCACUUGGGAUUGGAGUCAACCACCCCCAGCCCCAUUCGGCCCUUACCCCUGCCGCAGCAGCUGCCGCCGCACCCCCUCCAGCGCCGCCACCACUGCCUGCAGCGGCGGCCGCGCCGCCGCCGCGCCCGGCCCCGCCGCCGCAUCGGCCGACUGCGGGUGUAACCACAUCAUGUGGUCGCCCCGCGACUGCAGCGGGCACAAGAGGCACACAGCACACGAGGCACAUACGGGAGCGAUUUCAUAUUACACUGCUAGUUAGUAUAAUAAUGCGGUACUGCGCCCAUACCGAGAGGAAGGAAACGCCACGGAUUCUUAUUGCCUUGGCCACCCGAGUGCACGAGUCGCAACGCACGCAUUGGCACGCACCUGCGUGUCGACGGCACGGCCCUCGCCCGGCAGCUGCAGCCCCCCGCCAAUGGCCGCCUGCCGGUGCCGCUCCGCGAGCGCCUCCCGCGCCGCCUGCCGCGCAUCCUGUGCGUGUGAAUGCCGGAGCGCGGCAAGCAGCCUCUCAGGUGGUGAGGUUUAAGCCGCAAACACGCGAUUCGGCCCUUCAGUGCCCCUGGACACGUGCGGCCGCGGCCGCCACAGCCAUCGCUGCUGGCUCGUGAUGGUGCCUCAACGGCUUCAUGCUCUUGCCUUCUCCAUUUUAGUUCAACUUUCGCCCCCCCCCACGAAGCGGGGCUCUGCGCGGGCGUGCUUUGCCUGCCAUUCCCCCAUUCCCUGUCCCCUUUGCCCGAGCCAUGUAAUGGGCUGGAUCCAUCGCCCCCGGCACUGUGCUGAAUGCGUUUUUUGUGUUAGCGCACGCACCUCAACCAGGUCGGGCGAAAGGAAGCCGUCGACCACACACGCCCCACCAACCAGCUUCAAGCCAGGCACCGCUGCUGGUGCAGCAGGCGGCUUGGGCGGCUGGGGGCCGCCAUGACGAGCGGCGGCGCAUGUCGCAGCGCUGAGCGCCGAGGUCGCCGGGGGUUCGGAAGAUGUCGGCGACGGGCGAGGGGGGCCCACGAUUGCGUCGAGGAUGUGACGCCGGACCGAGUCGGGCAGCGCGUCAAGUCGGCUGUAGAUGUCCAUAUGACCACGCUACAGCGUAACUUAAUGCGAUACUACUGCAACAACGUUGCAUUCGAAAGGACCAUUCUUUCGUUCCUCAACAUACUAGCUUUCAAUUGCAUGUAUGCUAAUCUUGGACUUUCAUGUGUAUCUCCAGUCUUAUGUGGAGAUGAGGCUCCUUCAGAACGCGGUUCUGGGUCGGCCCUUACGGCAUGCGCAGCCAGCGAGUGUGUUUUGGCGCGCGUUUCCCGGUGGUAGCCGGCCCGCCCCCGCCACCACCAACGCCUCAGCAUCCUUCCACCUUGUAAGCCAUUCUACAAAGUAGCUGAUCACGGUGUCAGGUAAGCUUUCUCAAGGACGCAACUUCCGGUGCACUCUCCAGUUAAGCCAUCGAAGCGUUCGAACCGAUCCGUACCCCACCUCCACUUGGCCGCGCUGGCUGCCGAGAAGCGUGCCGAGAAGCUCUUCCCCGCCGGUCUGCCAACCAAAUAUCCACAUGCACAGCCGCAUGCAUAGCGGCGCUCAGCCGCAAAAGCAAAAUCAGCUUGCGCGCCUCGAGGCGCGCGCAUGCCCCGCUGGACCCGCCCUGGCGGGAAGCUACCUGCGAUCCUUCCUUAUUCGUAGUUUUUGAAACAAAAUUAUACACAACAUCAGCUACACCUUAAUUUGCAUGUUUGUGCCCCGUUGCCAUCGUGUUCGCUUCCAGUUCUAGUUCGGCAACUCACUAAGCCUGGAUCCAGCAGCAAUUUCUUGUUAAUUGCAUCAUACUGAAUGACAUUGCGUCCGCUGGAGCCAUGAUGGCUGCUGUUUUGUGAAAGUUCGCGUGUUAACUUUCCAGUUUCGAGCGCUGCGACGCCUGCGCCUACGCCGCGCUAGGCAAAACAAAGUAAUAACAUGCAGAGUAUGAGACUAUUACGGCCGACAUCUAGCUGGCGUGGCCGGGAGGGCUCGGCAACGCUGUUCAGCAAGCGGUGUUGCGCCCUCGCCGCGCUCUCUGUCUCAUGCCUGAUACUUAUACUGGCGCUAAACCAAGCUCCAUGGAGUAGCUCGAGCAGCAAAUCGGUUGCAUCGCGGCGCAGCUUGCUUGGGUUCAGGUCGCAGAAAUCGCAACCCUUGCGGGCUGUCCGGCGGAAGUCCGUCGACGAUACAUUUGGUGAGCUCAUCAAAGCAUGCUUUGCGGAGGCUUCCCAUGGGCCUUGCAAAUCGCACAGCGUUGGCGGGUCUCAGCCAGGCGGGGAACCAGGGGUAACAUCUGGUGGCUGGGGGGUUUUGCCGCCCGUGACACACCUCAGCCACCUCUGCACUCCUGCCCCCCCCCCCGACCAGCCCCUUACCGGACCUUUCCCUGGUAUCCCCUGCUCACGCAUCCUCUUCUCCCCCACCCCACCUGCUUUCCUUCCCUACCCACCACGGGACCCAGCCACCAUCUUCCACUCCGAGCUCAUCGACCUGUUCGGCCUACACAAGGGCGGCCCCGAACCCGUCGACCAGCUCUUAGUCACGCUGCGGCAGCUGCAGGCGGCGCGCAUCCGUACCGUCAUGUUCUCCAUCAGCUGGGCCUGGCUGGAGCCGGCGCAGGGGCAGCUUCGGUGGGGCUACCUGGAGGACGUGGUGGGCAGCGCCUGCAGCCACACGGAGCUGAAGGUGAGCAGGCGGAGGGGGAGGAGAGGGGGCAGGGGGCUUGGGCGCAGCAGUCGUUUCUAGUUGCCAUGUAUGGGUGUUAUCAGCAUAGCGGAGCAAGGUACUUGUAAGGAAAGCCCCUUUUUACACGCAUGCCUUGCGCACUCACCUACAAGGACACGGUACGCCCACACGCCAGGUGACCCUUAUCGUGGACCUGAUGCGUGCGCCCGACUGGCUGUUUGUGCUGCACCCGGGCGCUGCCGUGCUGGACGCGGGCGGGCGCAACUACAGCCACCUGUCCUGGUUCCACAGCGCCGCCAAUGAGGUGGCCCUGGGCUCACUGCGGCAGGUGGGCGGGGGAGGGAAGGAGGGCGGCGGCGGGCGGUGGUGGUGGCUAUGUUUCCACCAUCCCCAAGCAGAAAGCAGGAGCACGAGUGAGGAGAUUGUGCGAUGGAGGUGCAAAGAGCGGGGGAGGGGAUGUUAGCUGACCACGAAUGGCAGGAGUGGACAAGGGAAGGAGCCUAGACUGCUUUACAUAGCCACAGGACAAAGAUGCGUACAGCGUGUGCUUGGACACCAUUGGUGGGUCCAUCUCAUGUGCGGAGCUGUCUGUUUGGCUAGGUGCUGUGUGUCGUAAGCCGGCUGGCUCACAUGUGCUCCUCUUGCUGCCGGCCCCUGCUGUCCACCGCCCGCGCAGGUGGUUGAGGGGCUGUCAGCCAAGUAUGAGGGCUGCAUCAGCGGCGUACAGCCCGUGUACAACAACGAGUACGAGGUAAGGGGGCUGGAGGGGGCAGGGGUUUGGAGGGCAGGCGCAGGCACGCAAUGCGUGCACCAGUUACUUACCUAGCUCCACGCAAUUGUACAUGCGUGGCAGUCCUCCUUCUUCCCCGCCUCUCCCCGCGCGCAACAUAUUCACAAGCCCCAACCACGCUGCACCACACCCCGCCAUGCGCUCCACCACAACCACACACCCAUCCCUAGUCAUGAAUGUAACCCCCAUCCACCCCACACCCACCCCGCACAGGCCAAGUACACCCAGGAGUUCGACAGCUACCAGGACUACAACGCCGCCGCCCUGGCCUCCUACCGCUCCCUCAUGCGCACACGCGUGGGAGGAGACCUGGGCAGGCUCAACGCCCGGUGCGUGCGUUAGAGCGUGUGUGCGUAUAAGAGAGCACUAGGAAUCAUGCACGUGUGGGACUGUGUGUGUGUGUGUGUUAAAGAGCACAAGGAAAACGUUGCGCAACGACAGUGUAUGUGUGUGUAUGUGUGUGUGUGUGUGUGUGUGUGUGUGUGUGUGUGUGUGUGUGUGUGUGUUGCGCCGGCUGGGAAGGGGGGUGGCGUCAUGCGGGCCGCGGCGGGCCAGGCGCACGAGCACACAGCGGUGUCCAGAGGCCCGACCCAGUCGCACACGCCCCUGCCCCGUUCCGCCCUGCAGGUGGGAGACCCAGUUCAGCUCGUGGGAGGAGGUGGCGCCGCCCAAGCUGCAUGCGGGGGCGGUCAUGGGGCCGGACGAGAGCGCCAGGUGGGUCAGCGGGCGGGUGUGGGCGGGGGCGCGGGCGGGUGUGUGCGGGGGUAGGCGGUGCUCCCGUUGUUGGGGUUUAAGAGGCAGGGUACGGCUGCAGGUUUGUGUGGUUACGCUUGGAUCGAGUCUUUAGAUCGCGUCCGUUUUUGGGUGCGCUUUUGAACUGACUGACUGAGCUGCCUGCCUCCUCCCUGUCACUGUCAGUUUCUGGGACUGGCAGCAGUUCCGGGUGCAUCACGGCGCCUCGGUGUUCAACCAGGCGUGUGCGGUGGUGCAGGCCGCGGGGGUGCGCUGCUUCCACCACUUCCCGGAGGUGAGGACGUGGGGCCGUGUAGUGUGGCGUGUGGUGGCGGGGAGGGGUGGGCUGGGCUGGGAAUGACUGGGCUCAAAGGCCAGGUAUAGACUGAGAGGACGUGGUGCGCGGCAGCGUCGGGCGCCUCCCCUGCCACAUGUGCAGGUGUACGAAGCUCCCCUGCGCGCCCCUUACCCAUCCCUCCCACCCUUCAUCUCCCAACCACUGUCGUACGCCCCGCCCCCUGCAGUUCUUCUCGGUGUUGGACGCGGUGUACGGCGCCGCCAUGUUCAAACACAUUGCCGCCAGCCCACACACAGGUAGGGCCGCGCGGGGAAGGGGGCAGGGAAGGGGCCGGGGAAGGUGUAAGCCGGUAUAUCAAUACACGCUAACAAUAUACUCUCGAGACAUCGCGCGAGGCUUUUAUCGUCUUACAAAUGGUAUCGAGACCGACCAGUGAUUAGCUCUUAGGUUACCGCGGGUGGACCCAGGGGGAAAUCGGACCAAUUCGAGAGGUCACUGGAUCGAUCCUGACGCUGUGCGUUAAUUCAAAGAUGAAAGCUGUAAGCCUAAAUAAACUGAAGUGUUGAAGCAGGCCAGUCUACCCGAACUAGGCCCUCGGAGAGUCACCUAUGCCGUGGAAUGGUCGUCACCCAACGCGUAGACGUAUGGCCCCGAGGACGGGUCCCCAUCAAAGGGGGGGGAGUGUAAGCCGGUAUAUCAAUACACGCUAACAAUAUACUCUCGAGACAUCGCGCGAGGCUUUUAUCGUCUUACAGAAGGGGGGCACUAUUGUUUGUUGUUCAGCGCGUGCCGCUGCAAUCCUGCGCGGUGACCUUGUUCAGGAGCGCUCUCAUAAGCUGGGCAGUGCUGCCGCGCCCGGCCCAACACGCAACACCAUGAAAUACCAUCAACCCCAAACCCCACCCCCAGUUUGGGCUGGUAUUUACAACCCGUAUCCCCACGCGUCUGCUAUACUACUGCUCCUGGCUACGCCUUCACUUCUUAGAUAGUCAUGAAUGUAACCCCCACCCACCCCAACACACGCAGACUUCCUGAUCAUGGACUCCAACUUCCGCACCUCCACCGGCGCCCUCAUGGACCCACGCAAACUGCGGCUGUACAUCGCCGCCGCACACGCCUACGGUACGUGCAACUCCCUGGCCCCUGGGCCCCGCGGCCGCUCACCUCGCAUCCCCUAGCUAGGUUGGCUUUGGCAUGGCCUGCUUUCGUCGCUGUGGCCCUGCAUCCGCCUAAACCGCGAGGCGGUUCAUAGCACCGCCUGACAUGACAUGCCUCAACCAGUCAGCCAUCGCGCUGCACCUUCCCAACCUUUCGCCGCCCCACUGCCCCCCUGCGCCUUAAUUUCUUUACUUAUCAUGAAUGUAACCCCCCCCCCUACCUCUCAGGCAAGCCCACCUACUUCGAGGCGGCGGUGGAGCGCUUUGCAGACGUGAAGUUGCUGCAGGUGCGAGCGCGUUUGUGUGGGCAUGUGCCAGGGGCGAGUCCAUACACUUGCUUACCCGACUCCACACCACUGUAUUAAUCUCACCUCAUCUGCUCCCCUCACUCCUGACCCCGCUUCUCCAACCACCCGGGCCCCAGGCCGGCUACGCGCACGCGCUGCUUGCGGGCGCCUCCAACAUGGGCCUCACCAACUGGCUGGGCCGCAUAAACAUCACAGACCCACAGCUGGCGGCAGCCAUGCACGUGGAGGGCGGGCCGGAGGCGGCGGCAGCGGCGACAGCCGCGGCAGGGGCUGGGUCAGGUGUCGGCUGUGGGGCGAUCAGUGAGGCCAGCGAGGUGGUGGGUGUGUUCAUCCACCUGGACUCAUGCGGUGCGUGGCACGGGCUGCAGUGGAAGUCGCCGACCAGCAAGGACCCCUUACACGACUUUGUUGAUCAGCUGGCGGAGCGACUCAUUCCCACGAGCGCCACCACCGCCUCCGCCUCUUCCACACCCUCCACGUCCUCCUCUCCUUCUUCUGGUGCUGGCGCCGCUGGCGCAACCGCUGCCGUGGCUGCUGCGGGCUGUGGCACCGACGUGGCGGUGUACGUGGACCUGGGCCUCUUUGCGCAGGCGCUGGCGGCGGGGCGGUUGAGCCGGGUGGUGUUUGUGGAGCCGCUGGUGCUGGCGGGCGGCGCGGAGGUGGCGGCCUACGUGGCGGCGCGGGCGGCGCUGCUGCGGGCGGAGGCGGCGGGGCUGCCGGUGGAGGUGCUGCGGCUGCCCACGGGCGGGGCGCGCGGCCUGGGGCUGCGGGUGCUGGAAGACCUGUCCUAGCUACUGGCUUGAGAGUGUAACGGCGGUGCUGUGUGCGCGCGUGUGUUGCAUGAUCCUAAUGGACAAGGCCCGCCCAUCACGCGUCGGAAUUGCUUACUGAGGCAUGCGUGUGUUUGUGUGAGCGUGUGUGUAUUCGUGUGUGUCGUGGAAGAGGAUGGUGCGGGCCUGGGAUGCAGGUCCGAGUUGAUGGCUGUCAAGCAUCUGGAUGGAACGGUGGUUCUGGAGGCGCGUGAAGCAAAUGAACUAAGUGAACUCAAAUCAUGACGUUAUGCGACACGUGAUUUGAAGCAAGCAAUUGCCGACUGCUGCUGUGAGUGGCCAUGCGUGCUGUGUACGCGUGCGGGAUUGGCUGAUUGGCGGGGGUAAUUGUGGGUCGGGUUGUUCAUGCCUUUGAUGUGGUUUGGGGGGUGUCAAGGUAUGCGCCCAGUGCUUGUAGUUCCGAGCGCAAUGGCGCAGUGUGCACAGGUGUGUGUGUAUAGGCCAAGGCGGAGGCGUAGCAGGAGUCACGGCUGUUGUAUGCGCUAGGUCGAAUGCAACUCUGCCGGGUCUGCGCUGCUUGGCUGUCACUUGGCAUCGGGUUGGGACUACGAAGGAACAAGACGCAAAUGACGAAUGGGCACUGCAUGUAAUCGCGUGUUUGCGCAUUCUUAUUGGUGGAACUGGGUGUGGCAGAUUGGGCACACCCAGCUAGAACCUACCCAUACCUGGGGGGCAAUAGUUCUGCGUUUCCUAAUGGUUGGACUUGGCAAUCGUUUUGGCGGCGAGGGUGGCGAUCUAGAAACCAAUGUCACACGCAUCACAACGCAUGAACAGUAUGUAGCAUCCCUGAUGAGGACUGUGCAUGAGACGUUUGAGGAAGAUUGGGAGAACAGUAGAUCCGCGUGACUGAGUGUCCCAAGACGGUGUCAAGCCAGGAGUGAAGAUGUGUCGUUACAACUUACAAGCACUGGAUGAGCAAGACGCGGCACACGCAGGUCUACAUAGUUCGAGCACGGCAUGUCUCCAUGUUGCGUUUUCGAAUAAUCGUUUGGAUGCUUGCCACGCAAUACACGGUGUGUGUGAAAGCUGCGAUGGCGAGUGACAGUCGAUACCGCAAUCCCCACGCCUGCAUUGACAUCGGCGCAGCCUCUUGCGCCCAUAACUCACUUCUUCUCUUAAAUGUCUUCAUACGCGUCGCACUCAACCUCACCAGAGGGGGCCAUCUCCGUAUCAUAGCGUGUCAUACACACGGGUAAGGCUGCGACAUAAACGACUUGACGGUGCAAUCAAUCUAGGGUUACCACAUGUUUUAUUUUGUUUUGUACAACGAGUGUAGCGGUCUGUGAGCUGGUCAGACCAAUCUACAAGCAUGAACUGUCAAUCAUCGUUCAUGGAUUCCUCAUUAUCAACAGCUAAGUCAGUACAACUUCGUGACGCUUGACUGCGUUUUCGUGGGGCUCGGAAAACUCUGCAAGUUCGACAAUGCCUUUGACGUCAGCACUCUUCUCUUGACCUAGCUGGCUCCCUAUGACUCAAUCUGCCUGCGAUUGAGUGCAUAUAUAGAGGCAGGGAUGCAAGUCAGCAGUGGCGCCUGGGCGGCAUCGGUUGGUGAGUCCUCAACAUCAUAAACUCGAUUGGUGCUGAGUCGUUUCGGUGUAUUGGUUCACAAGCUUGAUGCUGAAGCCGGGCACGGGCAUGGGCGCGGGCGUAGCGCCGGCGCAGCGCGGGCGCGGGCGGGCACUGCUGCGAAUCCCUGCGCGCGGGCAGGCGCGCCGGGGCGAAUCCCAGCGCGGGCGCGGGCGCGGCGCUUCGCAAGCGUCUGUCUACCGCCAAAGCCGAGCCUGCCACCACAGGUCAUCGCAACUCUGGGGCCAAAAAGUCUCCAGAAGCUCACUUUGGACCCGCGGGCCUCGUGCACUAAAACCUUCGCCCCCACAUGUAUUUGCACCGCCACCGCAGGAGCGCGCGGGCAUGGGCAGACACGGGCAGGUGAGUCGUGCCGGCCGCUAGCUGCUGGGGCCGCCGGCCGCUCCCAGCGGCUGCUCCCAGCAGUGCCUCCAGCGGCCGCUCUAGCACUCGCCUUGUGGCCGCAGCAGUGGGCGGUGGCGGGUGUGAGGUCGCGGCUUGCGCUGUCCGUUGCGGGUCUUGAUUGCUUCGUUCUGGAAAGAGUGCUCCUGCUCCGUUGACUCCUUCAAACCCAACGCAGGCAUGUGCGCGCGUGGGCCUGUGGGGCCUGCGCUGCCACCGCUUCGUGUGUCGCCAGGUGUGAGGAUGGUGCCAUCGGGCCCUAAGCUGCCCACGCAUUCCACACAGCCCACAUCUAGUUCGCGCUCAAUGCUGAUUUGAAUUCGAGGGGAACGGGCAGCCUGGCUGUGCUGAUCUUUUCAUCUGUGUAGGUCCCCCAAAGAACACCUGCCACACCGAAGCAUGCGGACCCUGACUUCUGCACCCGCCGUUGCUCUUGCGCGCUGCGCUACAAGCACUCGCGGCUCCCUUGAUGCCUUGAGUUCGGCACAAGUUAUUGCUCACACUGCUUUCCCCGCCCCGCCCACAAACCCUGUAGCUGGCAAUGGAGCUGCUGCUCGCAUCCGAGGCCGCCCGCUGCAGCCCACAGCAGCACUAGCGGCUGCUGCAGCGGCACCUCAUACUGCUGUUCGACCGCGAGGCGCCCGCCAACCACGUCCAGGUAUGUAUGCCGCGUGUACGCUCAGUACGCUCACAUGAUUCGAGGAGUGGAAACGGGAGUGGAACCAGGGAGCAACGUGUGGAACGCUAGUGUGCGUGGCAUGCGUAGUGUGCAUGCAGCAGGGGUUGUGCGCACGAGGUGGCGAGAUAGCGUCCGUACAUACCAUUGGAGCGAGUGAGGUUGCGUGCAACUAAUGCAACAGGUCUGCAGUAACUGCACAGCUUACACAGCUCCCCACGCAGUGUCAGCCCACUCUAGCCAUGUUGGUUGUCGAAACAAUCUAGCGUGCCAUACAUGCAUACAUCGGGCCGGCAUCACUUGAGGUAGUUGCAGGGCGGGAAUGAAGCUUGAGCGCUUGCUUACCAGACAAACUGAUGGCCACAAUGGGCCUUCAAGACAUUGAUUAAAAAGCUCUAUCUAAUGGUUUGAGCUGAGCCCCUGGAGCGGAGCGACUCCCGGGGGCCAAAGCCCUCCAGGAUCACUCACCCCUGUCCGUCCGCACGUCCUUGCGUGCGUGCGUGCGUGCGUGCGUGCGUGAAAGCUUCAGCCUCACAUGAUGAUCAUUUGCUCACUGCUGCAUGCUUUGCGAUUGAUUAUAUGCAAGAUUUAAAGAUCGGUUUUCUUGCUCACGGUUGCUCAAGGCGCGAGGCUGGGGCCUGGUACCCGCGAAAGUCCCUCAAAACGCAAAGCACCUACAUUAUUCGCGCGUCCACGUGCCGCCACUAACUGCUGCUGGCCCGGGAUCAGGCAAAUAUGCGGUGGGGAUGCAUGGCCCUCUGUUAUAACUCCGCCGUCCUUGCACGCUGGGGCCACGCCGCAGCCCUAGCGCCUAGGGUUGCGGCCAUGUCUGCCCUGCAGCUCCACCGUCUGCUGCAGGUAGGAUCUCCAUGCAAGCCGGCAACACACCAACCUUCGAAAAUACACCAAGCGGGGUGGGUGGGCGGGAGACACAAGAACGCGCUGGUCUGGAGGUCUGCCUAUGCUUGCUCAGCAUCAGCAAGCAAGAGAGACCAAAUAAAGAUAGAUAGACGCCAACGCAAAAGCUGAGUGAUCCAAAAGCCCACACCGACACACCUCCUGCACAAACGCACCGGCCUUCAGGCCCCUGACACAUACCUUUGACACAUUGACAUCCCCCGCGUCUCCUUUCCUGCAGUCGCCUCUUCCUUAGAUGUCCUUAUUUAUAUCGAGACGAGGACAUCCUGAUCUAUCUAACAUAGCAAAGGGCGCGUACCACGAUGCCGUUACUUACGCCAUCCACGCGCACACGCCGCAAUGCGACAACCUACCCCGCUGCUCUGCUGAUCUAUGUUUGCUUUAGCUCCGCCAGCAGGCCAUCAAAGCACGUGCCGGGCUGCGCCAUUCCGACCUGGUGGUGAUGGUAGCGGUGGCGGCGCAGCUGCGGAUGAUCGGCGUGCUGCUGGUGACGCCGCCUCCCAAACGAACGCCGCUGCCGCCGACCAAGAGCGCGAGGCUGCCACUUCGGCCGCGGCGGCUCCACCAGCGCAGGCGGCAACUGCGGCGGAGGCGACGCCAGCAGCGCAGGCGGCACAGUCCGCCACUGCGCCGGAGGCGACGCCAGCAGCGCAGGCGGCACCGUCCGCCACUGCGCCGGAGGCGACGCCAACAGCGCAGGUGGCACAGUCCGCCACUGCACCGGUGGCGGCGCCAGCAGCGCAGGCGGCACAGUCCGCCACUGCACCGGAGGCGACGCCAGCAGCGCAGGCGGCACAGUCCGCCACUGCGCCGGCGGCGACGCCAGCAGCGCAGGCGUCACAGGCUGCGAUUGCGCCGGUGGCCGCGCCAGCAGCGCAGGCGGCACAGGCCGCCACUGCACCGGAGGCGACGCCAGCAGCGCAGGCGGCACAGGCCGCCACUGCACCGGAGGCCGCGCCAGCAGCGCAGGCGGCACAGGCCGCCACUGCACCGGAGGCGACGCCAACGGCGCAGGCGGCACAGUCCGCCACUGCACCGGAGGCGACGCCAGCAGCGCAGGCGGCACAGUCCGCCACUGCGCCGGCGGCGACGCCAGCAGCGCAGGCGUCACAGGCUGCGAUUGCGCCUGUGGCGGCGCCAGCAGCGCAGGCGGCACAGGCCGCCACUGCACCGGAGGCGACGCCAGCAGCGCAGGCGGCACAGGCCGCCACUGCACCGGAGGCGGCGCCAGCAGCGCAGGCGGCACAGUCCGCCACUGCACCGGAGGCGACGCCAACAGCGCAGGUGGCACAGUCCGCCACUGCACCGGAGGCGACGCCAGCAGCACAGGCAGCACAGGCCGCCACUGCACCGGAGGCGACGCCAACAGCAGCGCAGGCGGCACAGGCUGCGAUUGCGCCGGUGGCGGCGCCAGCAGCGCAGGCGGCACAGUCCGCCACUGCACCGGAGGCGACGCCAGCAGCGCAGGCGGCACAGUCCGCCACUGCGCCGGCGGCGACGCCAGCAGCGCAGGCGUCACAGGCUGCGAUUGCGCCGGUGGCCGCGCCAGCAGCGCAGGCGGCACAGGCCGCCACUGCACCGGAGGCGACGCCAGCAGCGCAGGCGGCACAGGCCGCCACUGCACCGGAGGCCGCGCCAGCAGCGCAGGCGGCGCAGGCCAUCCGUGGUCAGCAGGUGUGUGUUUGGGGAGAUAUUGGAUUCAGUGGUUCUUUGAAGAUGACUGUAUGUGUGCGUGCGCGUGCGCGUGCGUGUGCCUGUGUGAAUGUGCGCGCGCGUGUGAGUGUGCACGCGUGUGUGUGCGCGUAUGAGUGCGCGCGUGUGCGCGCGCGUGUGUGCAUGUGUGUAUUGCGUGCGCGUGUGUGCGUGUGCGCUCGCGUGUGUGCGUGUGUGCGCGCGUGUGCGUGUGCGAGCGCGCGUGUUUGCAUGUGUGCGCAUGUGCAUUUGCCCGCGCACGUGUGUGCGUGCGUGUGCGCGUGCGCAUGGAAUGCGGAGAUGUGUGUAGGGGGGAUUGUAUUCCCGAGCCCAACGAGUAAGUCCCAUCAUCAGCAGAAACCCCACCCAGCCACGGAAAUGCGAGGCGAGCGCGCUAGUAAUGACCUUCAUCCCGGUCAUGUGGUGGUGGUGGGCGGUACCUGGCGGAGGGCAGGUCCAGCGGGGCACCAGCUCCGCAUAUCGCCACCCAGGCUCGGCACACGUCACAGAAUUUACUAUGCGGCAACCCACUCACUCGUAUGCUUACCUAUGCAUUAGCACGGAAUCCCGGGCGCCAGGCAUCCACGAGCGCCAGGAUCACAGCGAGCGCCAGAGCGAGGUCCGGUCUAGGAAUUGCGGCGUGACAUGUAGGCGGGCACUGUAGAUAGGCAGGACAUUGAGCGGCGGACGGGAGGCCGUUGACGUUGAGGAAAAGGCAAGAGAUGGAAGAACGAGGAGCAUGGGUGGCGAAGAGAGAGAGGGAACGGAUGGCCAGGGCGACUAUCAGCAAGGGGCGAGGCGGAUGGGGGCGGGAUGGGCGCGGUUGGGGGCAGGAUGGCGGUAGGAAGUAAGGGGGCAUGGCGGGCGGGGGACUCAAAACGAACGUGUGGGCAGGUAGGGAAGGAAGGGCGUUGGCAGUGUGCGGGCCGCGGACGGCUCCCCACUCCAUUGCCAUCACAGACGCUCGCAAAGAAGAGCGGGCAUACGUAAGGGGGGAUGAUGGGGCUGGCACGGGCGUAAGUGGCAUGCAGGGGGUUAAAAUGUAUGACGAAUGGUCUGGGAGGGGGAAGGUAGGGUAACGCGAGCGAGUGAUGGAGGGAGGGGAGGGGAAACGGGUAUACGGCUAAGCCGCCACACGUGUAUGUUAACGAAAUAAAACGCCGUGGAUGACGUCAGGAACAGCACGCCGGGAACUCGUACGGGGGGGUACAGCUGCAGCAACAGCAGCAGCAGAGCGGCCAUACUGGGGUUGCAGUUGAACCGGUGGUGGAAGGCGUUCACAGGGGGCAGACCAGCAGCUUGUUAACGUGAACCUCGUCUAUGCCGUGAACCCCAGUGCAGCAUGCGCCAUACAUACAAUCAGGUGGCCUCCGAAUAGGUAGCUAGGGCAAGCUGCCCAUCUACAUACUUCACCAACUGCACUGCCGCUCGCGCGCGUGUGAAAGCGUCCGGUCGUUUGAUGCCAGCCUCUAUGCAUGGCUGGUGUGUGAUAAUGUGUUGCAGGACACGCGGACAGCAGGGGGCGUGCAGCCGGCUUCUGCGCAGGCUGACAUCACCGGGCUGGUGCAGGCCAUGGCGCAGGCCAUGGCGCAGGCCUUGGCGCCGCUGAUUGACAAGAUGGACGAGCGGGAGUGGCAGGCGCAGGAGCGGGAGCAGGAGCGGGAGAAGCAGGCGCAGGAGCGGGAGCAGGAGCGGGAGAAGCAAGCGCAGGAGCGGCACAGACAGGUGCUCCGCAGCCUUGGGGAGCUGAGCGAAACCGUGUCUGCAACGCUGGUGGUGGCAGUGGUGGUGGCGGCAGCAUUGAGGCCAUCUCUGCGCCUGCAACACAGCUGGAGCUGGACGGCCUGACCGUGCAGCUGAAGAACGCCACGCUGCGGGUGGUGAUGCUGGGGGCCAUGUCCAGCAGAGGAAGUGAGUUCAUUUGCAGGGUGUGGAGGGAUGAGGGACUGGGGGACUGGGGGUGAGGACGCGGGCGGAUGGGUCGCGCGCGCGUGUAAUUAAACAAGUGUUUAUGUAACGCUGCUGCUUGCUUCAACUCUUUAAUGUACAAUUGCUGGAUUUCUAAGAAAGAUAACCUUUCCGCAACGCUCACAGCCUCCCACCCACCCAACGUCCCUCGCCGUCUGUAGACCUGCCGAUGGCGAGAAAGCAGCUGCAGUGCGCUGGGACCCUCCUGGCGCACGUCUUCGACGUCGCGGUGGCUGCUGGCGCCUUCGGAGGCCAGCCGCCACAGCUGCUGCUGGAGGGCCGCGUUGCGCUGGGGCGGCGGGGCGGGCUGCCGCCGCCCAAUGAGCAGAGCGUGCAGCUGGUGCCGGCGGAGGUGCAGCAGCACACCAUGGUUGGGAUGGUGACGGGGCUGAACGGCCGCCUAUCAUGUUGUCGCCGCGGCUGCUACAUAUCUAGAAGGGGCGGCCGUUCAGCCCCGUCACCAUCUCAACCAUGGUGUGCUGCUGCCCCUCCGCCGGCAUCAGCUGCACUCUCUGCUCAUUGGGCGGCGUACGGACACACAGACGAGGGGGGGUGGGGUCGUAAGUAAGCAGGGAAGACGCAGACUGGACGAGGGGGCAUGAUGUAGUGGACACUCGCAGGCGCAUUCGCACACACCCCCAUGGCAUGUGAGACGGAUACGCGAGAAGGCAGUGGGCGGCUGGACGGCUGAACGGUAGCACACGCCCCCAUGUACUUUGCUGCAGCACACGCACUUGAGACACAAUGGGGCAGCGGUAGUAGCGGUAGCCGCAGCGGGGCAUUGCCCACGCUGCCAAGCCACCUGACUCAGUGUCAAUGAAUGAACGUGCAUGUAAUUGCGAUACGGCGCGUUCUCCUAGCUCUCGUUAGAGAUUCUGAGACUUGGGGCCGCGGAGGGGUCAAGCCAUAAAGGACGCGGAUAAGGGCGGCAGUGUAGCUAGGCUAGAGGGUGGGCCCGGGGCUCUCGGGACUGAAUCUCUGUGAACCGGAACCGGGCAUCCUAGUGGCCAGGGCUCGUAUCUUCCUGGGGGCGGCAAUAAUCAUACGGCGCCCCUGGGCCCAAAAUGUGCCGUUUGAUGGGGUGUUGGGAGCUCCAUCCCCCAAAAACCCUCGAAAACCAGCCCCAUCGUCCCCCGCCGGCCUCGCCCAGUCGCCCUCGCGACCCUCCCCACGGUAUGUGUGUGCAAACUGCUACUCGUGCCAAAAGCUACGAAGGUAAAGGUACGCACUGUGCAGCACUGUGCGCGUGUUAGGCUCAACUGGACUGCGGGAUGCGCCUGAGGGAUGACAAUGCCCGGCCUUACGGCCUAACGACUUUUACCGGUUAGCCUGAUUUGAGUGUAACGGAGCGAAGUGUAGCGGAGCGAGAUUAAGGCCAAACGGAGUUAGCAUGGAGGCCGUACAAGACGGCAAAAGCAUUUGGUCUCCCUUUGAGCCUCCCGGCUCGCCCCCGCCCCAGGUGUCCUUGGCCUCUGGAGCCGCGGCCCUCACUUGCGCGAGUCGCGUGUGGCGGCGGCGCUCCUCGCGCCGCCCCCACCUGGUGGCUUCGCUCUCACGGAGCUGGGGAGCCGGCGGCGCGGCGGUUUCUGUGGCUCUAGUUUUGCAGUUGCGUGUCCGUUGGGGCUCCGGCGUAGGGGGCAGGGUCUGGUGGGUUGCCACCACUGCUGCGCCGCGUUUCUUUUUGUUUGUUAUUGGGAUGGGGACUUUAGCAGCGCUCCAGGCUGCCCGGGUGUUUUCGGUUGCGUCAGGAUUCCAGGUUUUUUCCCUGCGGCGUUAGGAGUUGCUUUCAGGUUGCUUUCUUGUUGCGGGAACCCUGGCCGAGGCCCCGGGAAGUCGUGUGCGUGCCGUGUGCGUGUCUGCGCCGUGCGGGGGUUGCCCGCCGUGCGCCGCCCGCCGCCCUGCAUGCGGCGUCGGCUCGUCUGAUGGGGGACAUCGUGCGUUGUUGUUUGUUGGCCGCCGACGUUCCGGUUCCGGUGUUCACUGCUUUUCGGUUCGCGCUGCACUCGCGCGCGCGCGUUGGUUUGGCGGUGGCUGUGCUGCGGCGUGCGCUGGGUGCGCCUUGCGCUCGCUUGCGGUUUUGAGCUGUCUGCAGUGUAAGUGCCCUUGGCUGUUCUUCCCGACUCCACCAGCCCUGUCCGGCCCUCGCUCCGUCAGCUCAGCUCAGACGAGUCUCUUACAGCGGAGGCGGCCGUCUAUGCCGACAGCUAACGCUGGUGCCCGCGCCCAUGGCCCCACGCUCGCCCCUUGCGCCUUGCGCACGGCCUCGCCCGCGCUUAAAGCGCCAGUGGAGCGCCCAGGCCCGUCCCGGCUCAGUCGGGUAGGCUGGAGCAUACAGACAUGCAGACAGGUGAACGGCAUGCACGGUGACAUGGCGGCUUCCCUCCAGGCGCUACUUGGUCAGUGUCAGCACCCCAAAAGGCAACCCUACAACCUGCUGCAUCGGGAUGAACGAAGCGAGGAGCGAGAGUUGGGCAGGGUAUUCAACGGCCCACGUCCAGUGUCAGCCCAUGCCCUGUCGGUGCGAAGACCUCGACGCAGAAAGGCUGGAACAAAAGCCAUCCAGCAAGGCCGUGUGCGUGAGGCCGUGUGCCUCUGUAGUAUAUCUGGGGUACGCAGAAGGGCAAGGGAUGAAGGGAACAUGGCCGUUCUUCUUUCGAAGGAUCCAACAAGAAGUUUGAAUCCGUCUGGGUCAUGUCCCACCUGCUUCUGCUGAAGUUGUCUCCUUCUUAUUGAACGCCUUACUACCUGAGCAACGUCUUAUUGCACGACCGGCGCAACCCUCCACCUCUCGCGUCGUCUCGCUUGCGUGACAGAGGCUUGACAACUUGUCUUUUUCCUGGUCCCAUGGGAGACUGACCUUCACAAGGCAAUACCUAUGAUGUACCUAUAAGGCAGCUGACUCUUGAGUCCGCGUUAGCCCCACGCAAACUUUGAGCGCGCGACGGGGAUCGUUGUCUUGGCCGGGUCGCUUCACCAGCGUAGACGAAAAUGCGGCGGCGUCAAGGCCAGCUGCAUCCAUGGGGUUUUCUGCUGCGGCAGCGCGAUGGUAGGGCACCUCAAAGUUCGAAGCGUGGGUAGGACCUCCUCGACUGCAAGUGCAAGCGAAACGACUGAGGCGCUUUUUAUUCAAACUCUUGGGGACCUUGUUUUCCCUUUCUCAUUUAGAGCUUGCAGAGCCAUACAAAGUUGUUUGCGCAACGCAGGCGGGCUCGCCGCGCCACCCGUGGCGUUAGUCCACGACCACGUCGCGUUAGGUCGCGGCACGGCGCCUCCCCCGGGCGCGGCACAUGCCGUUGCGGGCAUGCAGCAGUGCCCCCUCCAGUUCAUUACUAUCGACGAUGAGCGCGUGAGCCGCCUGCACGCCGCGCUCACAGUGCACUGCAACAGCAGCCGGUGGCCGCCGCUGGUGACUGUGGAGGUGCGUGCGGCGGGGCCAGGGCCGGGGGACUUGUAGGGCUGUCGUGGGUCGCACCAUGGAGGCCCUUGUCCGCAGGUGCUACCAAUGUCAGAUUGACACCGGCGUAACACACUCUCUGCCACGCAAUCCACUCCGUUGUCCAUUGAACCCCUUGCUCCCGAACUCUUAAAAGCCCGCCCUUUAAUGCUCCACUCCACCCCACUCCUGGCCAAACUGUGCAGGACCGCAGCCGCAACGGUACCUACCUCAACGGCUCGCCGCUGCGCCCCGGCGCCCCCGCCGUCCUGUCCAGCGGCGACGUGCUGUCGCUGGUGCUGUGCGUCAACCCCCUCACGCAGCUGUGCUUCGUGUUUGAGGAGUGCCCCGUGCCGCCGCCCAACUGGACACGAGCCGCCAACGCCCAAGAAGGCGCCGGCUCAUCAGCGCAGAGCGGCAACACUGCUGUCCGGCGACCAACCGCCACCGGCGGUGAUGCGCUGGGAGCAGGCGGAGCAGCAGGAGCAGCGGCAGGGGCAGCUCCCUAUCCGGUACUGCCAGUCGGCCUGCCUCGCGCCAGCGGCAACCUGAACGCGGCCCUGAGCGCUGCAGCUGUUGCUGCUGCGCUGGCGGCCGGCCGUGGCACGUCGCGCAACAGCCGCGGCCACCGCGCCGGCCGCAGCAACCGGUCUCCCGCCGCCGCCGCCACGUCGACUGCUGGCACCGAGACGCUGGGGCUGGUGGACCCGCUGGCGGCGGCGGCGCCGCACCGGCUGAGCGGCACGGGCUUCUCUGAGGGCGGCGUGGAGCAGUGGCCGUCGGGAGCUGGGCCGCGCGAGGUGACCAGCCCCCAGCCGUCGCUGCCGCCGGCCUCGCUGCCGCAGUCGCCCGACCGCCGCCGUAUCACACGGUGGGUGGGGUACUUGCAUCUUGUACGGUUACAGGUUCCGUUGGCAGGUUUAACAACUGGCAAGCGUGUUAGACAGCAACAAACGGUGUCUGCAAUCGAUUCGCCGGUCCUGCGCUGCGUCUGUAAGGUCACCCAGACCGCAUACACCCAUCCCUUCGCGACGCAGGCAGUCCACGGGCAGUGGUGUGCCUCGCUCGCUGUCGCCUGACAGCAGUCCCACCUCGGUGGUGGGCGAGUCGGCACAUGGCUUCCCCCUGGAAGGCGGCGGCGGGCGGCGCCACAGCGUCCCGGUCGGCGGUGCCUCCUGGGACCGGCACGACGACCACUGGCCGGAGCCGCACAGCCCCACUGCCACUCCCCGCUCGCGCGUGCACAAUCACACCGUUGCGCAGGUGAGUGCGAUGGUGUGUGCUGUGCACGGCAAUCGUGCCGGAGCCCUACAUGGGGAGAAAGGGUUUGUCAUGCAGGCUUGUCGGCACACCGGCAGCCUGUUGCGCGGCCUCGCAGCCUCGCUGAUCCCUGCCGUCCGGCGAGCUUGCUAGCAACACCACCAGCCAGCUCUCAACUGCCAACCGCCACCUGUCCCCACUGGCCCCACAGGUCCUGGCGGCGCUGCACCCCAACCCGCUGUACGCCGACCACCUCACCGCGCUGGAGCUAGCGCCCGGCACGGCGCCGCCCGCCUCGCCGCCGCGCAGCCCCCGCUCGACGCCCCUGCGUGCGCCCGUCACUGGCGCCGCCGCCCGCGCCAGCCGCCCCAGCCGCCGCAGCACCGGCAGCGGCAUGGCCGCGGCUGACGGCCACCACCAGCGGCACCAGCGGCACCGCCGCUCCCGGACAGCGCACCUGGGAGCUCACCUGCUUGCCUUCGCCGCAGCGGGCGUGGCCGCGCCGGCGGACUCGGCGGUGUCUGCGGCUCGCGGCGGCAUUUCGCUGAGCCGCUCGCUCCCCCAACUGCUCCCCGUCGAUUUGGUCGGCAACCACCAGUUUCACGAGCUGCGGCUGCAGCAGCACUCGUCCGCCCAAGCCGGCGGCUACAUGUCGGCUGCGGCGGUGCCCUCGCUGUCGUCAGUGUCCGACUCCACACCUGCCUACGCCGGCUGGCCCGUCCAUGGCCUGGCCGGCAGCGGAGGCAGUGCCCCCGCUACCAGCGCCGCCACGAGCACGAGCAGCAGCAGCCGGCACAGCUUGCACAGCCCGCUUAGUCAGCCCAGCCUGCACAGCCGCUACCUACUGACCGGCGGCGCGGAGGCUGUGCUCAACAGCCCGCGGCGCCAGCGCUUCAGCACUGGCAGCGGCUUUGGACCGCCGCUGCCGGUGUUGCCGCCGCCGCCCUUGUCAUCGGCACCUUCGGCGUCAUCUGCGUUUGCAGAUCCGACCCAGGCCGAAGCCCUGGCCCAGGCCCAUCGCCGUCCGCGCGCUCUGUCCUACGGCUCUGGCAGCUUUGGCCUGGAGGAAGAGAACAGCGGUGGCGGCAGCGGCGGCAGCGGCACCCACACAGCCCUGGUUCCGAGGAUUUCAGCCCCCACGCUGGACGCGUUUGGGUCCGUGUCCGAUGCCCCCAUGCUGACACCGGCGCCGCCGUCUGCGCCCCUGCCAGCCUGCGGCUCCGGCUCCGGCUCUCCUCGUUCCGCCCCCGCCGCCGCCGCAGUCAUCGUGGGCGGCGGCCCAAGGUCCAGCCGCAGCUCGGCGUCGCGGCCGCAGUCCCGCCUGCUGCGCGUCAGCCGCCCCAACUCGCCGCUGCCUGGGUACGAGAACAGCGGUGGCGUGGGCUCAACCGGCUUCGCCGCUGCAUGGGCUGCAGGCGGCGCUGGUGCUGCUAGCUGCCGCGGCGGUGAUGUUGGUACCGCUGGUGCUGGUGCUGUGGAUGAGCUGGCGUAUGGCAUGGACAUGCAAGGGCAUGAGGGCGGAAACAACUGCGAGCUGCUGGCUCCGUUGCCAAGCUCGCCGCGCUUUGGGCCUGGAGGCCGCGGCGGCGCUGGGUCGUUGCCUGAUGCUGCAUCGGAGUUUGGCCAGGGUGCCAGUGGUGCAGGUUCUGGCGUGGCUGGGGCUGGAGUAGGGGGGACGGCGACCGCCGUGCCGCUGCGUCGGCUGUGCUCCGCAGCGGUGGCCGCGCUGGCGGCCGCCGCCGAGGCCACUGCGAGUGAGAGCGACACUCCCAGCGAGAUCACUUGCAAGGUAGGGACAAAGGGGUGCUGGCAGGCGUCGGUGUGGAGGUUUUGCGCCUUUGACCUGCGCUGCUGCCAUACAUGCCAUGCCAGUUCGGACGAAACCUUCGUCCGCUCCCAUGCAGGAGUAACCAACAAGUGCCCAAAUGCUCCUGCGCUACCUCGUGCACGCUUUUUGGCCCACAGGAGUUCUCCUUCUCCUCCCUGUCCCGUCCCACACUCUCCGCGCCCGCCGCCGCCAGCAGCCCGCCCGGUGCCAACCGCGACCCCUGCUGCAGCCCUUCAGUGCCGGCCAUCGCGCUCGAGCCCGCAGCCUCCGUCCCUACUGCCGCCGCCGCCUCUGUCAACCUUGAGGCUAGGCUGCACACCGCCGCAGCUGACGGCGGCAGCGGGGGCAGCCCGCGCUUCCUCCGCCGCACGGUCUCCGCGAACGACGGCCCGCAGGCACAGACCCUGCACAGGCAACAGCAGCUACAGCUUCAGCAGCAGCAGCACUUUGGUAAUGCCUCUGAUGCAUUUCUGGUGGCGGCGGCGGCGGCAGGAGCUCCUCCAACUCUCCGUGUGUCAGCGUCUUCCGUAAGGGCUGCUGCACCAGGCCCGCAGCGCAGCGUAAGCGCCGGCUCGCACGGAUGCAGUAGCAGAAGCGUGGCCAGCAGCGCGGACUGUGCUGCUGCCAGUGAGGUCAGCGGCGCCUACCCGGAGGGGCCGUGGCUCCAGCGGGGCGGCGUGGAGGCGGCGCUCCAGCACUCCCCACAAGCCGCAAUGGUGGCUGUAGCAGCCGCAGCAGCACAGCUGUACGGUGGCGGCGCCGCCACUGGUGGCGCCGCUAGCAGCCUGCCCACGGCCAGCCGCCAGCUACAGUGCCGCUGCAGCGGCACUGGCGGCGGUGGUGAGAGCAGCGGCAGCGGCACGGGGCUGAGUGACGCGUCCAUGCCCUCACCCAGGUGGGCUGGGGCACAUGGCGCUGGAGAGGACGGGGGCUCCAGCAGCACCCCCAGUAGCGGCCGCCCGCAGCGCCUGGCCGCAGGCCGCCACCCCAACCGCCGCCUCACGCGCUACGGCGAGUGCCUCGACACGCCCUCGCCGCGCAGCCCCGCCGUCACCAGCAGUAGCCAUGCUGGCGCCGGCGCCUCACCCUUCCGUCACGCAGACUCGUAUCGCCUGGCGGCACUCGCGGCUCUUGCCGCUGCCUCCCCGGCCGCCGCCAGCCCGGUGCCGGUGCCAGCGGCUGCGGCAGUAGCUGCAGCGGCUACCCAGGCGGCGCCGUCGUGGCCGUCACCGGCGCGCGCCACCCGGCCGCGCGGCGCCGCCUCCCCCGCCUGCCGCCGACUGCGGCUGGAGGGCGCUGAGCCGCACGACGCUGCGGCGCCGUCGCCUUGCUCUGGGGCAAGAAGCAGCCGCAGCUGGCUACAGCAUGAUCUCAGUGGCGGGGGCGCCGUGGCGGAACCGGCGCGCCCGCUGGCGCCUGGAGUGGUGACAUUGCCUGUAUAUGUGGCUCGCUCCGAGUCGGAGGGCUCGGCGUUGCGGUCCGCCGCGCCGCCACCGGCAUGGCCCCGCGCGCAGGCCGCUGCCGCCUGUCCCUCGCUGCCGUACACGCCGUCCUCGCUGGUGCGAUACCUGGACUCGCGCCUGGGCUCCCUGGCGGCGGCGGCGGAGGCGGCGGUGGCGGAGGCGGGUGAAGAGAUUGGCGCGCAGCUGGCGUCACUGGAGGCGGCUGCAGCUGUGGCUGCGGCUGGCGGUGCCGCGGGCGGCGGCGCACGCUCACAGUCGCGCUCAGCCGCGGCGCCGGGUCUAAAUUUGGAGCUAGGUUUGGAUCUGGACCUACCUGCGUUGCCGCCGGUUCCGAUGCCGACAGCCAUCGGCUUUGGCGGCGACGGCACUCUCGGCAACCGCCGCUUCAAUGCGGCUGCGCCCAGCUUCCGCGGCUACCAGUCACCGGAGGGGAUGCUGACGCGUGCCGGCGGCGGCGGUGAUGAGGCCCUGACGCCACGGAGUGGCCAUGGCAGUGUCUGUGGCAGCACCGGAGGCGCCGCCGCAGCUUCUUUUGAUGAGGCCCGCAGCUCUGGCGCCGGAGGCGACGGUGGCCGCAGCCCCGUCGGCAGCAGCGGCAGCUGCGCGCGUAGCUGCGUGGGCAACGCGGCUGCCGGUGGCGCAGCGUCGCGCUUGGCGCUUGGCCGCGCCUUGAGCACAAGCGCGACAGUGGGCUCGCCGCGCGCAGGCCGGCGUGCUCCGCUGGCAGCAGCCACGGACAGCGGCUGUGACCUGGACCACAGCCCGCCGCACAAGCCCAUCAACUCUACCUGCGCCACCCCGCGCAAGCAAAGCCCGCCGCACAAGCCCAUCACGUCCACCUGUGCCACGCCGCGGAAGCACACGCCGCGCGCUUCGUUCAGCCAAAGCCACUCCCAGGUAUUCCACGAGGACCAAGGCUGCGACCACCACCACCACGGCCACCACCGCCAGCUCUCCCGGGGCGGCGGGGACUGCCUGCUGCUGCACGACCAGGCCCAGGGACACAGCCGGACGGCUGCUGCAGCGGCGGCCUCAGUCACGGCCGCCAGGAGCGGCAGCAGCUCACAGGGCCUGCCCCUCCAGCCCUCGCCCUCAGGCCGCCCUCCCACCGCCGAGUCCGACACACUGCCGCUGCACGACGCCGGCAGCGGCAGCUGCGGCAACAGCAGCGGCGGCGGCUGGAGUGCGCAGGCCAGCAGCCGCGAGGGGUAUGCUUAUGCGUACGGCAGCGCCGGCUGGCCCGGCGAGCAGUGCUACCCGCCUGCUGCCCACUACCACUACCAGCAGCACCAGGACCGACAGGUGCUGCAGCUGCACAGCCGUCGGGUCAGCGGCGGCGCGGCCAGCACACUGGAGGCGCCGCCGCCGUCAGAGGUGGACGUGGCCAGGGCGAUGAGCACCGGCCGCGGCUGCGACAACGCCGAGGGCGAUGGCGGUCUCAGUGUCGGUAUGGGCCACGCAGGUUGGGGGCCACAGGCGCAGGCGGCGGCACAGCAGCAGCAGCAGCAGCAGCAGCGCCGUGUGUCAGGUGUUUCGCGUGGCAGCAGCAGCAGCUGUCGGCCCAGCACGAGCGGCAGCGGCUGUAGCAGCGAGUUCUGGGCGGCGGCGGUUGUGCCGGUGGACCAAUCCCCCGCUGCCGCCGCCGGUGCCCGCGGCGUGGUGCAGCUGGCAGUUGCGCCUGCGCUGUCGCGCUCGAGCCUGAGCCCCCUCAAGGUGGACGUGCGGCAGGAGGACGGCGUCCCAGGGGCGGAGGGGCCCGCCACCGGCAGGUGAGCGGCGUGUACAUGGCUAUGGUGUGCGCGUCCGUGUGCGUGUAUUUUCCUGCAGUUUGACUCGGGCUACCAGUGUUGCUUUGCUAACAUACAAUACGCACACCGCGUGCGCGCACAUGCACAGGCUGGCUGGGUCCCCAGGUAGCUCGCAGCUGGUGUGCGGCCUGUGUGCUGGCGGCUUGCGGGCUGCGGUGGCGCUGACGCCGUGCGGCCACUCCUUCUGCGCCGAGUGUCUGGCAGGGCACCUGGGGUCGGCAGUGCUGGGCGGAUCGCGCGUGGGCUGCCCCAACCGGUAGGAGUCGCUGCCGCCUUAGACCCCUACCCUCGUUUUGUGUCCGCUGUGGGGUCCGCGUGGAUACGCAGCGCAACAGCAGCGGGUCCCCGUGCAUGGAAGCUUACGUGUGUAUGCGUAGCCCCCGCUAUAUUGCCUCUGUUGAUUGCAAGCGGGCUCGGCGGCUUGGCAUGUCUGGUGGUCACACAGCUCACAUCACACUCACACCCUGUACCUGUGGCCUCACGCCCUCAACUCUUGCCCACAGGUGCCCUGCUUUUGAGGCGGUCGUCAUCAACCAUCCGGCCCGCCGCCUGGAAAGCAAGCGGUCCAACGCGACCACCGCUACAGCCGCCCCACGCUCCCACGCCCCCGCCCGUGCCCAGCCCGACGGUCAAUGUGAGUCAUCUCCCUUUGAAGCCCCGGCUGCGGCUGCCGCCGUCGCGGCGCACGCCGCCGCACGCGCAAGCGCCGCCUCGACGCCCGUGCGCGGUGCACGCGGCGGCUCUGACCCCGGGCCUGCCGCAUCACCCGCGCUGCGUGCGGCUGGUGGCGCCACCAGCAGGCUGCGCACGCGCAUGGGCAGCCGCGGCAGUGGCUACGGCCCCAGCCCCAGCCGGCGCCGGGAGGGGGCGGGCACGGGCAGCGAGCCAGGGGCGUGGUCGGAGAUGCUGGCGGACGCAGCACUGCCCGUGCCCGCCAUCCGCCUGCACCUGCAGCAGGUGUGUCCGGGUCUGUAUGUGUGUCUAUGUGCGUCGCGUAUCCACUUAAGCUUACUUUGGUGUGCUUGCUUUGAUAGACAGCGACAUGUUCAGGUCUAUUGGUCUUAAGUCCCUGCACUGCCGCUGCCGUGGAACCCCUGCCAACCGCCCCUCCUGCCGCCACCCCUACGGUACCUCCAACGGCUGCCACACCGCACACAGGGCGAGGUGCUGCUGCGCGCCCUCAGCCAGCUCCUGGACGACACGCCCCAGCUGCCGCCGCCCCCGCCGCCCUCCAUCCCCGCCGCCACAGCCACCACCACCACAACCAGCACCGCCGCAGCUGCUGCCGCCGCGGCAACCACCCAGGCGGCGACAGCAGCGGUGCGCGAGGCCCGUGCUGCGGUGGUGGAGUGGCGGCGUGUGGUGCUGGACGUGUUGGGCUGCCUGGGCCGCCUGGCACUGGAGCACGUGCGGGUGCGGGAGGCGCUUGGCGCGGCGGGCGCGUCCCAGGGCUGCGUGCUGGCGCUGCGGGCGGUGCAGGCGCAGAUGGCGGCGGCGGAGCUGUGCACCAAGGGCGGCGAGCGGAGUCUUGUCGACAAGGAUGGCAUUGUCAAGAAGCCAACAGUGGCGGAAGCCGAGAAGGAGGCAGAGGCUGCGCUGGUAGCGGAGGAGCGGGCGACGGCGCAGGACACCAGCCGCGCGGCGUGUGUGCUGCUGUGCCACCUGCUGAACCCACCGGCGCCGUCGCCGCCGGCCGAGACGGGUGCCACAGAUUCGGAGCAAGCGGUGUGCCGGCAGCAGUCCAACCAAUGGGCGCUGGCGCGCAUGGGCGGCGCAGAGGCCUUGCUGGCGCUGCUCCUGCCUGCGCAGGAGCCAGGCAAGGGGGCCACCGACGCUGGUGGCGAGGGCGCCGGUGGCAAUGGCAACGCGGAGCGGCGGCGGUGGUCAGGGCAGAUGGCGGCGGCGCUGACGGCGCUUCAGAGGAUGGUCGUGGGGAACAUCAUGACUCAGGUGCGUGCGGCGCGUUGAUGGGGAUGGGUGCACGUGUAGGCAGGCAGGAGUAGCUCCAAGGGCUCCGAUGUUGCAAAUCCCCCCAGCGACGGGUGGAUUGUCUGGCGUGUGCCCCCAACCGCCACUCACACACAUUCCAGUCCGCACGUACGUAGCUACUGCGGAGUGUAGCCAGACCCUUUCACAUGCAACGCCAUCCACCAUCAUUGUCACUCCCGCAGACCCACGUGGCCGAGUGUGGGUCUGCCGCCGUCAUCCGCACGCUGGCCGCCGCCACCCGCGCCGCCGCCGCCUCGGGCGAUGAGGCCGUACAGGCGGCGGCGCUGCGGCUGCUGGCUGACGUGGCCCGUGGCGGCGACGCCGCACACGCCGCAGUGCGGCAGAUGCUGCUAGAGGCCGGCGCACUGGGGGCGGCGCUGGCGGCGCUGCGCGACAGCGUGGCUGCUUUCGGCGGCUGCAAUGGAGGAAGAGAAGGAUCUGGGAAUAGCGGAUGCGCUGACGGCGGUAGCGCCGCCAGCUCGGGGAUGGAGGUCAGCCCGGUGCUGAUGGCGGCGCUGGACGCGAUUCAUGUGUUGAUGGGUCCGUCGGAGCAGCACGUGGUGAGCACUGGGGCUAUUGGGGAUCAGUUGAGAAGGAGUUGCCGGCUGCUCGCUCGCAUUGCCACUGUGGCGGUGGUGGCGUCGAAACAGUAUGCCCGCGUUGUCAAGGUAAACCUACUUAUGACGCCCCUCUGCCCCUGACACUAGUACUUGUUCCGAUGUAACGCGCUCCGUGGCUCUGCAGGACGGAUCUGAGCCGCCGCUGGCGCUUCAGGCGGUGGUGCGGCGGGAGUUGCGGCGGCUGGGCGCGCCGCGCCUGCUGGCGGACUGCGUGCGGGAGCUGCGGCUGCAACAGGAGGACGAGCAGGGCGAGGGCCGGGCCCAGGAGGAGUGGGAGCGGGCGAGCGGGCGCACGGGCCACAGCAGGCAUGCCCCUGAUGGUCGCGUGCUUCCCGGAGCAGUAGCAGGAGCAGGAGGGAAGCAGCCGCAUCCACGGCCCUGGGACGGGUCGCGGUCGCGGGAGGAGCGGGGUUCGGCGGGUGGCGAUUGCCUCGGGUGCAGCCCCGUGCUUCGGGCGAUGGCCGAGCUGCAGGCGCGCGUGUGUGCAGUAGCAGGUGGUACGGGCUGGGUGCGUUGUGUGGUGCAGAUGUUGGGCGCAAGUCCCGACGGAGUGGGGCAGGCUGGGCGUGGUGGCGUUGAUGGCGGUGGUGCGGCGAUGGCAGCGGUGGCGGCGCAUAGGGUGCAGUUGCGCCUUCUCGCGGUGGCAGCAGGUGGCGGGUUUGCGCUCGGUGCCGCGGUGACGGGGGCAGUGGCAGCGAUGUGGAUGGCUUGAUUUUGGGGUGGUGCUAGCAAGUGCGUUUGCGACUUUGGUGUGACAUUGCACCUUCAGGAGAAGGCAGGCAAGGGUUGAGGUGUAGGUUUGGCCGUUGUCCGGUUGGCAAGUGCUGGCCUGUUUGUUGAGCUGUUGACUUUAUAGUGGCUGUACCUUUGGGGGGUCGGCUUUGUUGAACACACGCCCACCACAUUGUUUGCGCAUCGGGACGCUAAGUUGGCGCAAGCCACGGUUGCCCACCCAAAAGCCGGCAGCUGGUAGGGCCAUGUGCAGCGUGGAAGUUGCUCUGCUGGUAGGGCCGUAUGCAGAUUUGAAAUAGCUCUGGUGUUGGCCGAGGAAGGCUGCGGAGGGGUCCAUGGGUGCGGCUGUGUUGGGGCAGGUGCUAGCCCGGGGGACUCCCCGUGGGGACUCCCUGGACAUGCCGCCGUGUGAAUGGUCAUUUGCAGGACAUUGGGUUGCGGGGCGUAGGGGAUUCUAGUAGAUGGAUGCAGGCAGGACAGCUCUGACAUUCAUCAAUUGAUGAUAGGCUGCAGGACGCAGUAUACGGCUGUACUUGCAUGUGUGUUGAGCCGAUGGGUUGUUGACGUCUCCUGAUGCGUUGGGUGGCUGGGUCGCCACGGAGCAAUUAGCGCCACGGGCCAAUCGUAAAGGUUACAUGUUUUGCUAGACAAAAUGAAUGAAGAGAAAACCAUUGUCAUUGGUAGGAAAACUUCUCCGUCGAGACCAAACUUCGCGCACGGGGUUCGGACCACGCCUAACCGGCCGGGUUUCGAUUUCAAUGCGCGCCUUGCGCAGCCGGACUGGCGCCGAGCAAGGCUCCACAUACUAGGUCUCAAGUUGGCCCAAGUUUCUAAUAUAAUGCCUGGCUUAACCCUGCCUUGCCAGGGCCGUUCCGCCCGGUGAAUAAUCGCGCCGGUUUGGUUUCUUGACAUUUUACAGUCGCUUCCGAGGCUAUCAGGACGCGCCAGCAAUAUAUAGGGAUAGUAAUUUUUGUGUUCGCAGCAAGAGCGCUCUUCGUUGCGCUUUCAGAGCGAGGCCCCGCGGUUUGCGUCAUGUGUUUCUCUUGCCGGAGGCACCUGAUACUGACUUAGUUUAUCCCUGCUAGCCAUUAAUCACUGGCAAAUGGCUAAGCCUUUGCCUGGCUCGGCAGUUGGCUUCUCAAUGCUCCAGCGACCAGCCUCUUUCAUAUUAAGGCAGAGGUGAACAGUACUGGAAAAGUACUGGAAUCAAGGCAAUGUCGGCCGAUGAGGCCGGCACUUACGAGGAGGAGCGUGGAGGGCCCGCGAAGCGGAGCGCAAGCGCACUCACGCUUGAGCUGCAGGUAAGCAGAGAAUACUACCAAACCUCCAAACUUCUAAGCCACGCCGGUUAGAUUAUUGCGACUUCGUUUUGGUAGUGUCAAAAUGGCCUUCGGUCCAUGAGUCGGAGCGUGAAGCGGGGCGUGUGGAGGCGCAAGCGGCUUGGGACGAUCAAGGCUACCUGCGCGGCGUCUGUGCAUGGACGACAGAGCUUUCGCGCCUGACUUCUCACGAGUACCAAACUUCGCCCUUCGUCUGACUUCGCCGUCCGGCAGGGGGGGAGGGUUGCAGUAGCGCCACGGCCCACAGACGCACAGACGCCCCGAGCCCCGAUGCGCUUGUAUCCUGCCAUCUCAUCGUUGCCUCUAGCCAGCAACACGGCCUCCUAUGCUGCACACCUUAUAGAAGUGCACGUGCCCUUGGUUUUCCCCCCUGCGCUGGCCCCUAUGCGCCGCAGACGCUGGGUCGAAUUGCACGGUCCUAUCCAAGCACCUGGCUGGCACCACUGCUCGUACUAAUGCUAUGCUGCGGACUCGGGGUUUUUGGCGUGCAGCGGAUGGCACAAGUCAGCAUUGACUGUGCAAAGGUGGGGGCUGGGAAGGCAAGGGACGUCUGGGAGGCUACGCCACAAAUAAGCGCCAUCUCAUUCCAGUCCCCUAGCUCUACACCAUACCAUCACAUGUGCGCUCCCUCAACCACCGGUAAUGCACGACAGGCCAAGGCUAGCUCCAUCGCCAGCACCACUGCCGCCGCGCUGGAGCAGCGCUUCUGGACGGCGGCGGUGCCGCUGCAGCUGCUGAGCUCGCUGGUCCGCUUCGCGCCGCAGUGGGACCAGGCGCAGCAGCUGUUCCUGGGCGUGGGCCCCUCGCUGCUGGCGCAGGACGCGACACAGGCCAUUGUGUGUCUGGAGCUGUCGCCGCAGGGCAUCACGCGCACCACAGUGCCGUACAUCCCAGCCAGGAUCGGCCACAACUUGCUGACGGGUGCGUGCUGACCCAGCGGGGGCGGGGGGGGGGACAGGGGCAAGGAAGCGCUGGGCAAAGGCAGAGCAAGGGCAGAGCCCAAGGGGCUGUGUGUCCGUGCGAACCGGCUGUGGCGCAUGGUGGGCUGCAACGCGCCAGCACCAGGGGCCAGAGUGGCUGUGUGGCUCGGGUCUGUCCACCUUGACGCGACGUCGCGCGCCUUUGCCUCUUCACACGCCUCUGCACUCCUGCCAUUCCUUCUACUCUAACCGUGCACCCACCUGACCUACCGUGCUGCCGUCCUGCCUUCCUGCCGUCCUGCCUUCCGCCGUCGCAGUCGCCUGGCCCACUGCGGACCAGCGCCCGUAUCUGUCCGCGGCGCAGGAGCGCAAGAUGGCGGUGAUGGGGCCCGUGACGAAGCCGGGCGGCGCGGUGGUGGCGUGGGUGGCGACGCCCGUGUUCGUGAACAGCAGUCGCGAGGAAGAGGUGUUUGGCAUCACCGGCAACCUGACCAACGGCGCUUGCGGCGCGCUGUGCGCUUACAACGCCACAGGGCAGGAGCGGUGGUGGGGCUUCGUGUCAGCGGCAAUGGGUGAGUGGGUUGCGAAGAAGAAUGUGUUGCAGGUAUACCGGUGAGGCCGUGUGGGGGCGAUAUGCUGCUGUAGGCGGUGUGCGAGCAGGCAGGCGUGCAGGGUGCUGACGUUUUGCUAGGGAGGGGACAACCGUGUUAUUGAUGGUCAUCCCAACGCACUAAGGUGUAUACUCUGGACCUGCACCCGCCCGACCCUUGUGCCGCCCAAUACCAACAGACGUCGCUGCGCUGACCCUAGGAAGGUGAGCGUGCGCAUGCGGCAGUCGCGACGCCGGCCAAGCCCUUGCAUCCUGUCCUUGCUCUGUCGUCCACACGUACGCAGGCAGUUAUACCUGCCCGAAUUCUGCCUGAAACCCCCACGCGCACACCGUAUCACGCACACGUGCCUUCACAGGGACUCGCCGCUCACACCGCUUGACGGCUUGGGCUACCACUACCGCCUGAUUGCACCCGUGGCGGCGGCGGACGGGCUUCAACACGUGGCCAGCUCGGGCGGUCCCGAGCUGUGUGACCCCGUGGUGUCGGCGGUGCAAAUCACACCCAGCACACAGGUGGGCGGGCGGCAUCAUCCGGCGUGCCUGUGUUUAGGCAGGGGAUUGCUGACGCGUAGGUUUUGGCGUCACCGGUGGCAGUCCCUACUGCGUUCACAGCAGGCGCCGCCGCCAGAUACUGCAAACCCUAUGCCCGGUAUCGCCCUAAUUGUCACGCGACCGCGCCGCUCCCCCGUCCCACCCUUCCAUCCAAUGUGGCGCAGUGGAUGUUGUACGUGGCGCCUGCGGACGGCAACUGGACGCCAGCCUGGUUCGGCGGCGUGGUGGCGGUGGUGGUGGUGAUGUCGGUGGUGGUUGCCGGGUUGCUGUUCGCGCUGCUCAUAUCCAGGUGGGCGACAGGGUGGGGCGCUUGAGGGCGCGGCGCGGGGUGGGCGGCUGCUUGCAUGGGAUUGCAUGCAGCACCUGACCAUGAAUGGAUGUAGCUACAGCUCCAGGGGGCCGCGGCCACGCAAGGCGAUGGUCCAAACAGCCAGGCGUGGAGUCUGUACCCUACACGUCCACCCUUUCAACCCGCACGACAUGAACUUACCGUAUGUGCACACCUAUGGACACAAAUACACACGCGCGCGCGUGCGCAGGCACAAGCAGCGCAUGCUUCUGGAGGCCCUGCUGCCCAAGCAGGUCAUCCAGGAAAUGCAGACUGACACCAAACACAUCACUGACAUGGCGGCUGCCCCGCGCCUCAACACCGCGGGUGGGUGCGACGGCGCCGUGCGGGGAUGGACAUUACAUUAGAACGCCCGGCCUCGCCCGGCUGCACACGCGGCAUGCGCCACGCUUCGUCACAGGCCCCCAUCCCACUGCUAACGCCGCCGCGCCUGCUGCCCAGUUCCCAGGCUCGCACGCCCUCUCGUCAUUGCAUCCCGAUUCGCUGUACGGGUGUUUGCACCCCCCACCACCUACACCACUCGACGCUUACAAGCACACGGCAUUGCACGGGUGCCCCCGCCCCACGCAGACACGCCCGCCGGCAUGCUGCUGCACCUGCUGGGGGGCCUUCUGGAGGGCCAGCCGCCCGACGUGCGGGAUGUGGUGUUCAUCCGCUCAGCGCUGCUGCGGAGCGCAGACCUGUACACACCCAUGGACCUGCGGACGCAGCUCAAGGGAGCCAACCUGGACGUGAGCGGUGCUGUGUGUGUGUGUGUGUGUUUGUGUGUGUGUGUGUGUGUGUGUGUGUGUGUGUGUGUGUGUGAGAGACUACGGUUUCCACGGUUAUUCUGCCAGAUCACGUGAAUCGUGUGUGUGUGUGUGUGUGUGUGUGUGACUGUGUGUGGCUUCGUGUGGCUGUGGCUGUGUGUGGCUGUGUGUGGCUGAGGCUGAGGCUCCACUGCGUUGCGGCUGUCGCUGUUGCUGCUGCGACAGGUGGAUGUGAUGCACGCGCUACUGCGGCAGUUGGGCGCCGCAGACGACCGCCGCCUCUUCUCCGCGGCCAGCCGUGCAGCCGCAGCCGCAGGCGGCGGCUCCGUGCGCCCCUACCCGCACCGCACGAGGCUCAGCCGCGCGGGCACCGCACUGGAUGCCGACACCACGCCCACCGGCCAUGUCCACGCGCACACGGGCAACGGAUUUGGCGGCUUCGCUGCCGCCCGCAUGAGCACUCGCCACAGUGUUGACGACACCGCCGCCACCUGCUCCUCCACCCGCUACUCCCAUGCGGGCGGCCACACCACCUGCACCAGCAGCACAGGCGAGGCCGCGUUCUCCCGCUUCAGUCGCUUCACUGACAGCGGCUGGAACGUCGUGGGCGCGGCGCCGACUGUGCCAAGCGGCACGGCUGGUGGCGGCGGUACGGGCACGGCUGGCGGCGGUGGUGGCACGGGCGUGGAUGCCGUUGGGCUCGUUGGUGUGCCGCGCACCACCUUUGACACGCUCACCGGCGCGCUGGCCGUCCUGCUGGCUCCAUCUCCGAUGCUGUUUCCGCCAGCUUCCUCCGCUGUGCAGGGGGAGGUGUUUCUGCCGCACGUGACCAGCUGCCACCCGCUCGCGCUGCACGAGGUAAGCGGCUGCUGGCCAGCCGGACCCGCGGCGGCGUCGACCCCGGCAGCGUUGACGGCGCUCUUGCCACUGCCGCCAGCCGCCCAACAGUUGGAGCCAUUCUCCUUCGGCGCGUCGGGCGGCGCUUCCCACUCCGUGCCGCUGCUGCCGCAGCCGCCGCGCAUGGCGGCGAGCCGGGCCUCGGCCAACGGGGCCUGCCCUUCCGGCGCACAUGAGGCGUUGCUGGCGGCGGCGGCGCUGCCGGAUGCAGGCGCCUGCCGUCCGCCGCCGCUGCUGCCGCCGAUGUCGACGUCGACAGCGGGCUACGCAGCCGGCCUGGCCAGCGCCGCCGGAGCCAUGGCAACGACGUCAUGCUCGCCACUCCCCUCCGGCGUGCUUAGCAUUCAGCCCACCUCCGCAGUGCUUCCCUCGGACCUCCUGCCACAUCUAAUGACGGCGGCGCAGGAGCUAGUAGACCGCGCGCUGGGCGGCGGCGGCAGCACAGGAGGCGCCGGCGCGGGCAGCAGCGGGGCGGUGGUGGUGGAAGGCAGCCGUGCGGGCAGCGCAGGUGUGCCGCUUGUGCGGUUUGGCAGCACCAGCCUCGGGCUCCGGGCGUCUACAGGGGCUGUGCCCUGCAGUGGUACCGGCGGCGGCGGGGCGGUCACGCCGUCUCAUGCGGGCCACGGUGCGCUUGGCAAGCCGCCUGGGCGCCGCGUGUCUGGCUCCCUGAUCGUGUUGGACGGCAUGCCCAGGAUGGGAGGUUUUGGCGGCGGUGUCGACAGCUUUAACAUGUCGCCGGCGCCCGCCGCCAGUCAGCGCAACACGCCCACCCUGGCCGCAGCCGCAGCAGCAGCAGCGGCAGCGGCCAACGCAGCUGCGGCGGCACCCGCCCCCAGCGCUGGUGGGGCAGUGGGCAGCAGCUGGAAGGGCCUGCUCAACCUGCUGGGCGUGGCGACAGGCGGCGCGGAGGGAAGCACGGGCGGCGGCGGCGGCAGCCGCCGGGCGAGCACAGGUGUGUUGGGUGUGGUCGGCGGCUCCGCCACCUCCACCAGCGCGCGGGCAGCUGAAGUACCCAUUCCCACAGCCGCGACGACAACAACUCUGUCUGCGUCUACGGCGGCUACUGCUGUCAUGAGCCGCUCCCAGCAUAGCACCGGCCCAGCGGCAGCGGCGACGGUGGCUGUGAGCUGCGGCGCGCAAGGCAACUUGCAGCCGCAGGCCUUGUGCGCCGCGAUGGGCGACGGCGCGGCAAUGUCUGGCGCCGCCGCGUCACCGUUCUCAUCCAGCCUGCAGCCGCUGGUGCAGGGCCAGCGGCCGAGCUCGCAGCCGCACGGCUUCCAGCAGCAGCAGCAGCAGCAGUCGGGCUCGCAGCAGCAGCGGCAGCUCACACAGGCGGGGCUGGCGGCGCGGCUGUCUGGCGGCGGCCGGACGCUGCUGCAACCGCCGGCAGACUUACAGAUGCCGCCGCCGCCCAUUCUUGAAGAGGUAGGGAAGGCGCAGACUUGCUGAGUGAAUGGAAGGCUGUAUCUGCAUGUAGUCGAUAGUCACCGUUCUAGCGAGCGCUUGCGUUUUGCUGGCUGGCUUGUUUAUCGAGCCCUUUUAGGCCCCCACCGUGGUGCAACUGUUGAAAACGUCACACACACACACACACACACAUACACUGUCUUUGCGCAACGUUUUCCUUGUGCUCUUUAACACACACACACACACACACACACACACACACACACACACACACACACACACACACACACACACACACACACACAUGCAACCUCAGGUGGAACGGGUGCUUGCGGGCGCCGACCGUUGGUACUUUGACGCAUGGAAGCUGGCGGAGGUGGCGCAGGCAAGUCGGCAGCCGCCGUCCUAUAGCCAGCCGGGACCACCGCCGUGACGUACGAUCCGCGCGCGGCCUCCACUUGAACCUGCUGCACACGCACCUGUUCUCAUGGCGUUGGGCUUACACGGCUUCCGCAUGAUCUGGCCAGCCAUUGCCGGCAGCUGAGUUGUGCUCGGCCGCCCUCCCGCACACCUCGCUGGUCACACGCACGCGUAGGGACAUGCGCUGAGCGCUCUGGGCUACUACCUCAUUCAACGGGAGGGGCUGAUUGACAAGUUCCGACUCAAGCCCGUCAUGCUGGCCAGGUAUGGCCGUACGAGCUAACGUUCUUGUGUGUGCCAACGCGAUGCCCUAUCAGGCUGAUGCAGUCGGAGGUGCUGGUCGGGCAGGGCCUCGUGGUGUUGUGUUGUGGUUGUGUCGGUGCCCUCUCGUGGCCUUGCCUUGACGGGGUGGCCUUACUUGUGCCGCGCCCGCUGCACAGGCUCUUGCGCACCAUCGAAUCCGGGUACAACCCAGACAACCCCUACCACAACGCCACGCACGCGGCCGACGUGCUGCAGACGCUGCACGUGAUCAUCCACGGCGCCGGGCUGCACGCAGGUGGGAGCGUGAGAAGCGCGUGCCACCGCGUUACGGAGUUCUGGUGCGCCCUGCGAACAAUCCAGUGCGGACGCUUUCUUGUCGCGUCGUUACGAUGAUCUGGGAGCCAAGCUACUCACUACGCAAUUGUCGACUUGUGUACCGUAUGUGUGUGUAGGCUACCUGGAUCGGCUAGGCCUGCUGGCCGCCUAUUUUGCGGCCAUGGUGCACGACCACGGCCACCCCGGCCUCACCAACGACUUCCUCAUCGCCACCGGGGACGUGCUGGCGGUGCGCUACAACGACAAGAGCCCGCUGGAGAACCACCACGCCGCCUCCGCCUUCGCGCUGCUGCAGCGACACGACCUGGACCUGCUGGGCCACCUGCCGCAGCAGGACCGCGCCGCCUUCCGGAAGCAGGUGCGCGUGGGGGUUGUAACUACCAGCCCAAACUGAACCAAACUAAGCCAAACUAGCGGAGCACAGGCAGCGGCGACAGGGUUAUGUAAGUGGUUGAGCGGUUGGGUGGGCGGUUGAGGUAGUUGGGAGGGUGGGCGUGGGUGUGGGUGCAUUGGUUGUGGGGAUAGCGGGCCAACAUCUUGGGCAGCUCCCGUUAAGGGGAUGCCGGAUGGUGUGUAUGGCACACAGCGUGCUGGGACACAGGAAGGGCGGGGUUAUGAGGCAGGCCCGGGGAGCAUGUGGUGGUAUUGAUUGAUCACGCUGUGCCUUCGUGACUGAUGGUGUUGCCGCAGGUGAUCGAGAUGGUCGUGGGCACGGACAUGAAGCAGCACUUCACCAUCCUGUCGCACUUCAACACCGCCCACCGCCUGCCCAGCUACGCGGCGCAGUCCGCCGCCGUGCCGGCGGGCAGCGGCGCCGCCAGCGCGGCGUCCACCCCCACGCGCGAAGGCCCGGAGCUCUCACCUCCCAGGUGUGACCCCUGCAUGCCCUCACUCACAGCACCAUCGCACUCCACUCUCGCCCUAUUUUUGCACACAGCCGCACGCAUACACUUGCACGCAUUCGCACAUACAGUUUCGAUCCCACCACCUUGUCCUUUCCUUAUAUACACGCACGCUCAAUCGCCCACACACAACAGUGAGCUGGCAUCGGGAGCCACAGCUGCCGCCGGGUCUCUGAGCGCCAGCCCCACCGCCGCCGUGUCCACCGCCCAGCCGCCACCUGGGUCGGCGCCGUCACCCUUGGACGAGGCGGAGCGGCUGCUGACUCUGCAGGUGGCGCUCAAGGCCGCGGACGUGGGACACCUGGGCGAGGAGCUGUGCGUGCAUGAGAGGUGCGCGAGGGGGAGGCGGGCGGUGGGCAGGCGGAGGGUGUGGGGCGGGAAGGAAGAGGAGGUGCAUGGGAGGGGCGCAGGGCGCAGGGCGCGUCAUGAUGCAUGCGACACACGGGCAGCGAUGACGGAAAGCUGAAGACACGUGAUGGUGGGUUGUGGUUGCAGGUGGUUGGGUGUGCUGGAGGAGGAGUUCUUCCGCCAGGGCGACAAGGAGAAAGCUCUGGGACUUCCAAUGAGUCCACUUUUCGACCGCGCCAAGCAGGGCGUCAGCAAGAGCCAAGUGGUGAGUGACACAUGCCACAUGCUACUGUCUAUCACAGAUUUCUAGGUGGUGAGUUAGCCACACCCAGCAGCCCACGCACUCAUCCACGUCCGCAACAUGACCAUGGUCUGGUUGUCAAGGUGGUGCGGGAACAUGUGUGACUACAAUCGAUCUACCUGUAUUAUUGUUAGUGGACGUGCUCAUGCACAUGCGCACACGCCUCCUAACACAACGCGCCUGCUGGCUAUCACAAACUUCCAUCUGCAGGGCUUCUACGACUUCGUAGCGCUGCCUCUGGUGCAUGCGCUGGCGAGCGCAUUCCCGGGUGCGCGGCCGUUGCUGACCGCGUUCCGACGUAACUACGGCCACUGGCGGGCGGUUGAGACAGCGGCCAGCAACUCUGGCAAGUAGUGACUCCCGCCGGGGUCGCAAGCAACCGGUUAGGAUCACGGCUGCCGCCUGGCGCUGGGGGCCAUUUCGUGAUGGUGGUGGGAUUCGGUUGUGUAGUCAACCGCUCUUUGGGUAUCUAGGGAUGAGGGAGGGUCGCAUUGCGCCAUCCGUGGCAGUGGGAUGCGGCAUUUGGUGCCUGAGGGCCAUGCGGGCGCCUUUGGGGAACUGCGGGGUUACUUCUAUUACUCACCAGUCCGCCUGUGAUUCGGGGUGUUUUGAUUUUAGGGUGAAGGGCGGCGUGCGUUGAAAGACGCACAGCAAUUCAGCCACCGCUGAUGCUGCCAGGUUGGCAACAUAAAAUACUAAUGGCAGCAUAAUGAACAAUGCAUUUGAAGUCCUCGACAGGAGAUUCUUCCACGCUUUCAAUGAGGGAUGGUUGUCAUGUGUAGUGGACGUGGCCAUGCAUGUGUUGAACAAAUUCUUUACAGUCGAUGCGCGUGUAUGCUUUGUCCCUGUUGGGUGCCCGCAUGGACGUGGACAUCACGAGUCAUGAGUCGAGGCAGAAGGCACGCAGUAUGUGCGGACGCGCAUGAGGAAGGAUGAAGAGCACGCAUUGCGCAUCGCUCGACUGAGAUUGAUGCCGCAGCCAAUGUUGAAACAUGCUGAACCUAAACAGACGGCGUCCCCAAUCAUGCCCUCUUGCGGUACUAGUGGAGGCAUGGGCCGUGCACGGUUGGUCCAGGGAUGGCGCAAAAAUGUGCAUGGCUUGUGGGUGGCAAUAGGCGGGGAGGGCAUGGUGCUUCACUGCCCCACUCUGUCCUUCAAUUGACGCGGGUCCACGGAAUGUAGCCGACUGCAAUGGGUACGCGGUGAUUGUGAGACUGCUGAUAGCAGCAUGGGUCUCUUCAUGACGGCGUGUGGCGCUGUUGUAUGUGGUGACGGGAAGCUGACGCUGGUGGGGUUUGGCUAUUGGUCGGGGCUGGGGCUGGGUGGCACGGCCCUUGCCUCGUGUGAUGCGCAGUGCUGAAGGGCAGGGUAGUAUGGACUGGGCAGGGGGUGGUAUGGACUGGGCAGGGGGUAGUAUGGACUGGGCAGGGGGUGGUAUGCGUAGUAUGCUGCACCGCACAUCAAAGCGCGUGGCAGCACGAAAGAGUUGUGAAAAGAGGCCAUGUGGGGUUCACCUCAACAGUUUUGAUCACAAGUCGCUCUGCACCGCUUGCCAAGGUGGUGGUGGUAGUGCGUUCCGCUUAUGCGUGGUGUCACGGGUGUAGAGGACCACUGAGCAGUGUGGUGAAAUAUGCACUGGUGUGCCCUGCAGGUGCGGGCAGCAGCUUGCUGCAGGGUGCACCUCCAGAACACCGUUUGGGCGGGCCGACGUGGGUGAGGUGUACCCUGGAUGCUGUAGGGCGUUGGCCUGAACGGCGCUUAGAACGCAACUGUACAGCAUGGCAGUGCCGCAACGGGUGAUGUGGGUACAAUGAUAAAUGUCAAUCAGUUAUGGGUGUUUGGUCGGUGCUAAUUGGCGUCCCUCGUAACGGCGCUGGUGACCAUGAAAGCCAGUGCGUUUGCUCCUUGCCUAGUUGCCUGCACUUGGUAGGCUACAAGCACGCCCGUGAACCCGUCCGUGUGCUCACUGUGGCUGCGCGGCAGGCGGCUGAGUAAAGCCUGAUGGGGGCUGAGGAGCACAUCUUGUGCCGUGCGUCAUGAGGAGUAGUACGAUAAACAGCUGAAUAACAUGGUGAAUGCCAGGAAGAUGGUGGGCCUGUGUGGUAAAGUCAUUGGAAUUGCCAGCUCGGGGAUGGAGGUCAGCCCGGUGCUGAUGGUGGCGCUGGAUGCGAUUCAUGUGCUGCUGGGGCCGUCGGAGCAGCGCGUGGUGAGCACUGGGGCUACCGUAUUGGGGAUCAGUUGAGAAGGAUGGGCGCGCGCUGCCGAUUGUUCACUCGCAUUGCCACUGUGGCGGUGGUGGCGUCAACAUAAUAUGCGCGCGUUGUCAAGGUAAACCUACCCCUCAGCCCCUGACACUAGCACUUGUUCCGAUGUAUCCGCUGCGUGGUUCUGCAGGACGGAUCUGAGCCGCCGCCGGCGCUGCAGGCGGUGGUGCGGCGGGAGUUGCGGCGGCUGGGCGCGCCGCGCCUGCUGGCGGACUGCGUGCGGGAGCUGCGGCUGCAACAGGCGGACGAGCAGGGCGAGGAGGGCCGGGCCCAGGAGGAGUGGGAGCGGGCGAGCGGGCGCACGGGCCACAGCGGGUAAUGGUCGCGUGCUUCCCGGAGCGGGAGCGGUGACGGGCUGUAACUAGCAGUGUCCUACCCCGCUGCGAAGCUGGGGCCCGCAGGUCCAUUGCUAGCUCCAACGCGACAGUCCCUGGCAGCAAGGACCUGACCAUUCCCAUCUCCAACUGCAGCGUGCCAGCCUCCUACGGCACGCGGUUAAUUUGCAUUUGUAGCUGAUCCUCAUAGCUAUGGUGCCGCAGGAGCCCAGGCGACAGGGUCACGGCCACCGCCGCCUGCCCCGCGAACACGUUCCACAACACAAAAGGCAACAUCACAGCAAGCCAAACCCUGUCCCCCGAAGUAACAGGAGAUGGGAGCUUGAAAGCCUGGGGCCGUGCCGUACGCACGCGUAGGCCCACGUUCUCGCCCACACAGCACGUCUGCUGGCUACCUCCAGAGAGCCAGCCGCAUGAUCACUACGACAUGAAUGUACCAGCAGCAGUUCGUUCCCGACCACCAUUCUUCUGCUGCCGCCGGCACAGGCCCCACACAUGAAUGCGCAACCCACUGACGCGCACUGGUACGGUACACACAGCCCCUGCGAUCCAGCCGCCUCCAGGCCAGCCGGCCCAUCCUCCUCGAACCAAUCACACCCGCAAUCGCACGGCAGUAGCAAGCACAUCUGGAGCUUUAGCCCCCGCCACCGCCCCCGCCACCGCCCCCGCCACCGCUGCGGCCGCCGCGCUGCAGCAGCGCUUACUGCUGCUCGCCGGCGGCGGCGCGGAUGACGUGGCGGUGGCUGGAGUCUGAGCCGCCGGUGGCGCCGCGGCGCACGGCAGCGGCCGCCGCCUCGGCCAGGCGGCUGGUGCCGGCGGCGGCGAGGUCGUCGGGGUCGUUGCGGUCCUUGAUGCCCCACAUGCCGCCGUGCAGCUUGCCGGUGCGCACGUCCUGCUCCAUCUGCCACUCGGGCUCGCCAUACCUGUGUUGUAAUUGGAAACAAACAGAGGUACAGAGUCGACAAGAGUGUAGGCGCACAAAUGCUCCAUUCCUUUCACAUGUUCACACACACAUGCCGCCACGCCCGCCGCCCGCCCGCCCUCACGCCCGCCCGCCCGCACCAGCAGUCGCCGCUCUCCAGCUGCAGGCUGUUGUCGCCGCGGCGCACGCGGAAGAAGCCGCGCUCACCCCAGUAGGUGCCCCUGCAGGCGGCAGGGGUGGAUAGCGGCACAGCACAGCACGUCAGCUAACAAGCGACGAAAACCCCGUGCAUGCACACACACACACACACACACACACACACACACACACACACACACACACACACACACGCACACACGCACGCACACAGGUGCGGUUGAGACACGGCUCUCACCAUCAAUGCAUUGCGAGCCUGAUGCUUUGCAUUGCGGGUCCCACACGACGAACCCUGUCGCUGGUGGGCCAGCCAGGCCAUCGCAGCAACAGCUCGCUAAGGACCCCGGCAACUCACCAGCUGUUGCGCACGAUCCAGUACUUCUCGCCGUCCUCCUCGCCCCAGCCCACAACCUCCACAUCUGCGCAGUCAAGAAGGCCACAGUGUAAGCGAGUGGCAUGUGCUGUUGCGCACGACCACUCCGCGUCGCCCCCCGGGCCGCCAUCCCACCACAUCCUUGCAACCCCCCCCCUCCGCCGCACCGUGGUCCAGCUCCGUGUCGCCGCUGGUGUCCUUGUAGAUGCCGCCGUUGUAGUGCCACGUGAAGUCUUCCGGGCACACCUGGCCGCACGUGAUGGGGCCGCGGUGGUAAAUCUCACUCAUCAUGGCCUGUGGUGGUCGGGGGAAUUAUGGGAGGGCGGAGCAGGGGGCCAGAGCGGUGAGGAAGGGCAGGGCAGGACGGGAGGCCGUGAGUUGCAGGCGUGAAGGCUCACAGGAAUUCCGGCGCACGCACUGUGUACUGUGUACCCGCAACUAGCUAUGCAACCACGCCUACCACCUCCAGCGCUCCACAACUACAAGAGUCAUGCGCAUUUCUCUGAAGCGCCCGCCACGCCACGCCACGCCACGCCACGCCGCGCCACGCACACGCCCCGCCUGCCUCACCUCCACGCCCUUGUCGACCUGGCCCCAGGCAGUGAGGUAGUAGCGGAUGGGGCGGUGGAUGGGCCAGCAGGUCUCCACGCCGUCCAGCGGCAUGCAGUUGUUGCACUCGCCAUGCGCGGGGCAGCGCUUGUGGCCGGGGAACUUGGUGUGGUCGGUGGCGUUGUAGGUCAUGCAGCCCUCGUCAGGCAGGCCGAAACUGCGGGGUGAUUGGUGGGUGGGUGAGUGGGUGGGUGAGUGGGUGGGUAGUGGGUCGGUUGGAAGGAGGGUACGCCUAGAUUACAACACGGAGGGGUGGACAAUAUGGGAUACACUGGGGCGGGGCGGCAGGAGGGGAGGGUGAGGGCCGCCCAAACCGUGACUCGCCUUCCCAAGGGCCGGGCCCCUGAGGGCCGCAGGGCCGGUUGUAAGGCAAGAUACCCCACGGCUGAGCGCACGCUAGGACCGUGCGCGUGCACGUGUGUAUUUGCUUCCGUGCCUGCGUUAGACAGCACAAGGCCUGCGCGUGUGUCAUGUGUGGCCCCGCCACCACUCGCCGCACACUCACUCGGUCAUGUACCCGAACACGUCCACCGUGUCGCCGCCGUCGCAGCCGUUGCCGUAGCCCUCGAACGCCGCGCAGUUGAGCAGCGUCUGGCGCGCCAGCAUCACAUCCGGCGUCUCACCCUUCUUCAUGAUCUUCAGGCUGCGCGAUGUGGUGUGCGAGCGUGCGUGCGGCAGGGAGAGAGGCAGGCUUGCGGUCAGCGCCGUCGAGGACGCCAAACGCGGACGCGAAUACGGUAUCGAGGCGUGCACGCGGCGCCAACCAUGCAGACGAAUGCCUGAGCUCCAGACUCAUGACAUCACAGACGCAGGACCGAAUCACUGGUUGCGCCCGUCUCCCAACGAAGCCUGCUGGAAAUUCACGCGCGUAACCCAACCCGGUUGUGGGAGAUGCGCCCCACCGGUCCUGGAUGGCCGACAAUGUGCCGUGCACCCAGCAAGAGCCGCAGUAGUAGGGGAUGUGCUGAUUCCAGUUGGCGACGCAGUAGCUGACGCCAUCCACGUUGCACUGCGCGGGUGGAGGGAGCGGCGGAGCCGCAGUGUGUAAAGGCGCGGGAAAGGGAAUAAAGGUGUGCGGAGCCCCGGGACCAGCACGUGUCCGCCGGUUUUAUCUCCCCGACUUCGCGGGCCCCGCCCCGCAAUCCCCAGCGCGCAAUUCUGUAUGCUUCCAUGACACAUAGGCGCGCACCCAGUUCCAGUUCUUUGGCAGCUCGUGCUCCUUCUUCAGCGGCGCCGGGACGUGGUUGAAAGACGUGCGCCGGCCCUCGCGGGGCUUUUGCAGACUCUUAUCGCGAGGACCAUGGCCCUGCCAGUUCUUGCCCGCGUCCACGCCCAGCAACGCGACACUCAGGCCAAUUGCCAACACUGCGAGCGCCCGGCAAAGUGGGCCGUGCAUUUUCAUGCCGGGUACUACUAAUAGGAUCACAGGCACACUAACAAAACAGUAUUCAGAAAGUACCCUACUGACGUAAAAUCCCGCCGAUUCUGGCCUCAACGGAUGACGGAUUGCCCGAGUCCGUGUCUUGGAACUAGUUAUGAUAAACACAAGUUAUAAGGCUCUAUGCCAGCAAACUAACAAACGUCGUCCGGAGUGCCGGAACCGACAACGUGCCAUACCCUUGCAUUCAGCACUCUGCCUCCAUAUGCCCCGUCACACACGCGUACACAGGUCCGGCCACACCUCUCCCUGGCCCUCUUCCUGGCCCUGAGGCCUGAGCAUGUGGAUGGAUGGUCGGUUUGGCAUGCCGGUGUUGGUCUUGUCGGCCGCACAGCCAGUGUUUAGGCCGCUUUUAGGCCUAUGGCGUGGGGGCCCCCUCCCCCGCGCUGCUGACUUGCACGAGCGGUACCUGGUGUUGUCCACGUGCCCACGCCGUGUUGGGCGAAUACGCUAACCUUCACUGUAUGGACGUGCAAGGACGUGCGGGGGCUAGGCGUCGGACCAUGCUGCUGAGGCCGUUAGGCCCAUCGAUGCUCGGGCACAUGGCGUCCAUUACCCCUUUGAAGUAGCCCGGAAAACGGGAGACACUGUCUAACGCUUCCACACCAUCAACUCUUUCCUCAGACUUUGGUUUCGAUCAAGUCCAAACUAGAAUGGCUCGACGAGCCUUGCACAUUACCGCUUUCGCGAUUUUGCUCACGUCUCUGCCGCUCUUAGCGAUCGCCGACCCUGAGGACAGCUAUGCAGAUCUGGCUGCUCGCGUGGUGCCGGCGAAAUUGCGGCAAGCCCUAAAGCUGCUGCCGUGCUUGACCGCGGACACGGGUGAGGCGCUCGGACCGGCGCUAGUGCGCUACUGUGCAGAGCUCGAGCCGGCAAGCUUUGGAGCGCCUGUGUGUGUACGUGGCUCGUAUCGGCUGUGGUGCCGCUUAAUUUGGGGGUUCCGGCGCGGGGGCUGCGGGGGCUGAAGGGGCGGUUAGGGUUUUCCCGACGGCAAACAGGCUACCCCUCCGGCCGCCUGCUAGCCGGGCCCGCCUACUCCAGCCUACACCAACAAGCCGGCAAUCCAACAUGAGCAAGCAUGCGUAUAUUGCCAUAGUUAUCUUGUUUGGACCAAGGACACAGAAAGCAGCUGACGAGGCGCCGCGUCAGCCUGCGAACCUCUGCCUGGCGCCGGGUUCCCCUACCACCGCCUGCCCCAACCAGUCCUGUCCUUCCCUCCUUCCUGCUCUCCGUGCGACGCGCUCCCCCCGCCACAAACAAACACGCACCUUGUGCUCUUUAGCACACAUACAGAGCCGCUGUCUGCUUGCGCAUACUUCACAUGCACUGAUACACUGUGUCGAACACUUGCCCUUCCACUUGUGCUUUCCUCUUUCCUACACACACACGCACACGUGUGUUCCAGGCCCCGGCGAGGUCAAGCCGCUGCGUGUGUCACUGCUGGAGGCGCGCGAGCAGCUGGACGUGUUCAGCUUCGCCUUCCCCAACCGCAUCCGAGACGCGGAGCCCCUGGCGUCCGCCGAGGUGCUCACCACCUGGGGUCGCGUCAAGGCCGCCAUCGGCGAGCUCCUGAGGGCCAUUGUCGACUGGAUCAACAAACACGUGAUCGACACAGGCGUCAGGGGGCUGGUGCGGCGCGGGGAGCCGCAGCAGCAGCAGCAGCAGCAGCAGCUGCAGGCCGCGGCUGACACGGCAUACCACCGGCACAAGGGGCGGGACCUGUGGCUGGACAUGCGUGCGGACCUGGAUGAGGGGUACGAGGUGCUGGGGGACUUCCAGGUGUGUGUGUGUGGGGGGGAUAAGGGGGGGAGGGGGGGGUGGAACGGCGCGGGUUGUGGGAGAUGAGGAAGGGCCACGAUUGACGCCAGUGCGCUGUUUGCCACGCCCUGUCACUACACGCCCAGUCACAUACGGUACCUGCUUCCACUGCAGCCACCUGGUGUCCGUCCGGUACUUAACGCCUGACUGGCUUCGGGUUUGUCUGAGUCAUGUCAGGCCUUGCAAACUCGUGCCCUGUCCGUCCCUUUCCCCUUAACUCAACCCCUCCUACACCCCCGGGUUCGGUUUAGUUUGGGCUGGAAUCUACAGCCCCCUUCUAACGCUUUCUUCACUGUUGGGACAUGUUUCGUUGGGAUCGGGCAAAUACCCCUUGCCCCGCGCUCUGUGGGCUGGUUCUGGGUUUUGGUUACUUUGGGACUGAAAUAAAGUAACCCUCCUUUUCCUGCCCCAGGACCUGGACCACUCGCUUGUGGAGUACAACCAGACUGACAUGGAGGUCAAACGGGCCGUGUGCCUGGACUGGCAGAGGCGCAUCAGCCGCCACAGCGCCACGUGAGGGCGGGGAGCGGGGAAGGGCGGGGAGGGGGAAAGGGUGGGGAGCGGAGUCUUGGGCCUUGGGUCUGCCCCGUGGCGGGUCCGUACGUGCCGCAUGGCUGCCGCGCUGUGUCUGGCGUAACCCAAACCCCGCACGCAACGCGGUUUCCCACGGCUCCUGUCCAUACUUGACCCCUGCUGCCCGCUCUGCCCACGCAGUGACCGCUAUCUGGAGUUUGUGAGCACGCCGCUGCACUCGGACGAGCUGUACACGCACAAGCACUCCAGCAAGUGAGGCGCCGCCCGAACCCGUGUGUCGCACGUGCGUCGCAUGGGUCUGCAGGACGCGCCGUGUGCGCGUGUUGCCUGAAUGAGGAAACCCAACGCUGAUGAUCCGUUCGGCCGCAGCGCUGGCUGCACUGCCACAGCUCUCCGUGUCCGCCUCACAUUAUUGGUCGCCUGUGCACCUGUUGCAAAAUGCGCACACGCCGCACCCGGGGGCUCCUGUGCCCUGACGCCAUCAACGUGCUGCCUGUGGCGCCACCCACACCGCCAUCAGCACCACCACCACUACCAUCACUAUCUGGCAUCACGCCUCCUCCACACCCCUCACCCUGCCCCCCUCAGGCUGUUUUGGGGCUACAACGGCGUCACUCCCGACACGGCGCUGACCGGGCUGCAGAACCUGGCGCUGAUGAUGCGGAGCAGGUGUGUGUGUGUGUGUGUGUGUGUGUGUGUGUGUAUAUGCGUGUGUUUGCUUUUGCGUUUGUGUGCGUGUGCGUGUGUGUGCGUGUGUGUGUGUGUGUGUGUGUGUGUGUGUGUGUGUGUGUGUCAGGCACGUGCGGGUGUGAGGUGGGGGAAACACACGUGCGGGCGGGGGGCAUCAGUCCGCGGGCGGGCGCCGGGCGGGCGCUGCGACCCCGGGCAGCCCGCCGCCACGCACAGGUGCGCGCCCUGUCUGUGCCUUUACCGCAUACGUCUUGCCUCCACACACUCGGCCCUGGCCCCAGCCUGAGCACACAACCCCCCUCGCUCGUUUGCAUCGGGUUUGGUUUACCUGGGCUGGUAUUUAUCCCCCCCGUGGCUGUUCCCCAAGAUUGUCUACCACUUCCAUUAGUCAUUAUGAAUGUAACCCCCCCUGUACACACCCGCCCGCAGUCAGCUGGCCCAGCUGCUGGCCUGGUACCCCAAUGUGACGGCGCUGCAGCCCGAUGACCUGCUGCAGGUGCGGGGCGUGGCGUGGGGAAGCGGGCGCAAUGGUGCAUGCAGCUCCCACCCGGGAUGGAGUGACACUGGGGCUCCGCGGGGGAUCGGGCUCCGUCCUGCGGCGUGUGGACAGACUGGAAGAACCUGCUUCACGUGUGUUGUCGAGUCAUCCUAUCCACCCACCCCACCCCAAUCACCACAGGACCCCGGCCACACCACCUUCCACAAGUUUCGCAAGCUAAUCAGGUGCGUGCCGCCGGGGUCAUGUGCACAAGUAUGGUAUGGAUCCAGGAAGCUCAUGUAGAAAUGGGUGGAGCGGCCUUCGUGCUGUGUUGCUUGUCAAGGCGUCAUGUCUUUGCUAGCCUACUUCCCGGUACGCGAUAUCUGCACAGCAGUAUGUGGACCGCUAUGAUAGAGCAUUUUGUAUGCAACGCCAUGCAAUUGUUACAUAGCAUCGUGGCCACAUCAGCAACACUGGAUCAACCCGGCCUACCCUCCACCAGGUCUAUUCUGGCGGUCCUGGCGGAGUUCCCCGAGCUGCUGGGCCCCGGCCGCAAGGAACCACACACCCGUGUCGCAGAGGUGGAGGGGGAGGCGCGGGCUGCCGCCGCGGCCACCACCCUGGCUGCGCGGCGCGCCCUCUCCAGCUACUCCAGCAGCAGCAGCAGCAGCAGCAGCCUGCAGCUACGCCGCAGCGGCGGCGGCGGCAGUGGCAGUGGCAGCCGCAAUGACGGUGUGGCGGUGCGGGACCCGUGUGACGCGGGUGCGGCGCUGAAGGCCCUCCAGCGCCUGUUCCACGACCUGGGCCAGACCAACGACAAGGUGCGGGGGGCAGGGCCGUGUGUCGGAAUGGUGGGCGCGUGUGUGGGUUGUGGGCUUGGGCACGGGCAGGGGACCUGGUAUGUCCGUGCGGGGUUCCGACGUCGAAGCGGCUGCGUGAUGGCAUCCGCGGCCAACACAAACCCCCUGCGAGCGGCUCGACACCCAACCUGCUGCGGUCUCGCCCGGCGGCGGGUCCGUCCCGGCGCUGCGCCCUCCCUACUCAGGUAUUCGCCUACCAGUUCUACUCCUCCCGCGGCGCCGAGUGGGCUGCCGAGGCGGAGGAGGCGCACCAGCAGGCGGCGGAGGGCUGGUCUGACAACCUGGACUUCAUGGCCUCGGCGCAGGUGGGCGCAGUGAGGGGUUAGUGUGAAUCGGUCCCAAAGGAACCGAGACCCAGGACUCGGGGGGGGGGGGGGAGGCGGAGGCGCGGGCGCGGGCGAGACUGGUGGGAGCCUGGGAUCGGGAGGUUGUCGAGUCGCUCUCAGCUCACAUCAGACACGUGGGGACUGAGGGGCUGGAGAGGAUGCCGGCUGUACGGGGGUAAGGAACAACAGAGGGGAUGUGGGUCGGGUCGGGCGUCGUGCGGGUUGUGGGUGACAGCGGCUGGUGCCGCUGGUUGCGAUAAAGCAGGCAUCCAAAAUCGCUUGUUCCGCAACCAUGCACCUUCCAGGACAAUGCCAGCGGCUCUUGGACUGCAUUUUGUGCCUGGCCGUGUUGCUUUCGCACAUGCUUUUGCGAGCUCGCCCCCUUGCCUCCCCCUUCUGAGAUGGAGAACAGCGGCAUGUCCCCUGUCCCUGCUCCCCUCCUCCUCGUCUCCCUGUCCUCGCGUUCCCCUCCGCGCCUCCGCCCGCUCCACUCAGGUUGACGUCAUGGCUCGGUGCAUUGCCGCCACACUGCCGCGGGGGGAGCAGCCGCUGCCCCAGCGCCGCCGCCGCCACAUGUAGAGCUAGGCGGGUGGGCAUUUGCAGCCCUUGUACUACCCGCAAUGGAUCAUAAAUACAUUUUACAGCCGUUGCAGCGCGUGCUGCAUGCAUUCAUGCUAGCGUUGGUUCUUUCACGGCGCUUAAAACAGCCGCAGUAGCCCGGUGGAGUAGCAGUCAGACGUGCAAACGUAUAAGGAUGUUGGGGGCUAAGCUGCGCGCUCGCGUGCGCUCGCGCGCACACGCCCAGCUACUGUGCGUAGCUGCUGCGGUGGCGGCGCCAGUGACUCCAAUCAUGUGCUGCGACCCAGCAAAACUGUUGUGUGCGCAUGCGUUUCAGUAAGUUGGGAGCGCUUGUUGGCGGCAGGAGUUUGUGGUGCAGGGGUAGUCAAGUUGUUGAUCGUGUCUGAGGCCUGUUGCACGCUCGGCACUUUGAUUCGAGGCUGGCAUGGGUACUGCUGCUCGAGAGCACGCAUCGCUGGGCUGUGUGUUGGGCUUCUGGGACUGGGAUGCAGACGUGUUGCUCAAAUGCAGUUUGCAACAAGCGCGGGCCUCACAGUGCCCUCCACGGGUGCGACAGCCCCCAUUGUGUAUAAGGGCCAUCCGUGGCUCUCGCCAACGCGGCGCCCCCACACGCGAACAAUGUGUUGGGCUUGCGCCUAGGACAGACGACCACUUAGGACGCUGUAUGAGGGCCAGCGCUAAGACAGGAUCAACCUUAUCUAGCUCCUUACAUGAACGGACCUAGGCCGGACGGCUGGGGAGUUGCUUUUAUUCCGGUUGCACCCGGGGGUUGCAUCUAUCCGUAUUGAUGUGUUGCGGGGGCUUGCAGGCGUGGUUAAGAUGCUUUUGCAAGGGUUGGCUAGCUCUUAAGCCCGGGCGCAUCAUUGCAUCGGCCUCUUUUGAUGCUACUGUAAGGUUUGGCUGAUGACAGCUUUGCGCACGCAAACGUGCUUGGAUUGGGUCGUCAAGCUUCAAAAGACGCGUUUCGCAUGGCCUAUGGCGAUAACGUGCUUCCAGGUGCUGAAGUAGCCGCGUUGGCGCGCGCGAUGGCGGCCAUCAGCGGUUCGCCGCGGCCAUCGAGACUCCCUAGAGGGCACGGUAAGUCUUCAGCUUCAGUCCGCUACUCGAAAUUGGUGUGCAUGGAGUUCAUAGAGGAUAUGACUCACGGUACUGCAGCUGCGCAUUGACAUUGACGAGUAGGGCGCGCGCCCUCCGAGUGCGCGCCAACUGCACCCGGGCAGCUGCCGAUGUACGGCGCUCGUCCGAGUUCUCCUAGCAACCUCUCAUGAGCCAUCGCAGUAUUAAAGCACUGUGGCAUCGACAAUUUCUUACAACCCUAAGCAAUUACAACUGCGACAUCUUACGAAGCUCAUCAGGUCAGACUUAGCGUUUUGCAACAAUCAGCCUCUUCAUCACCAAACUGCAAACAUGAAUUUAGCAGCCAUAAAUAGGGUCAAAGUUUUAGUAGCUGUCUGCCUGGCAAUCGCGGCGCCAACACACGCAGCGGGCACCGGCGCGCGGCCUGAAUCGGUGGCGGCCUUCCUGCGCGGCGGCAACUUGCCAAGCAUGGGCAACAUAGGUGAGUACUUGAAGGCAACUGGGGAUGGGCUGGUAAGGGGUCAGGGGAUUGUAAUCAGCAGCGUCCAAUCUGGCUUACAGCGCCAACAGACCUUAGACUAAUGUUAACGACCAGCACCAGCACGCACAAGCACCGUGUGUGAUGUUGUGACCAAACCCGUUCAACACUCACUUCAUUUGCACAUAACUGUCCCUGCUGUGCCGCGCAGGUGCACUGGCAGCAGGGACUUCAUCCAUCACUCCCGCUACUCAGGCAGCCGCCACCAGCACCGCCCGACCGCUGCAGCGCCUGCUGCAAUCCGACCCCACACUGCCCUUCACCUGCACCGGCAUCUCCCCGCCACAAAACUGCAAGCCGUCGCCGCUCUUUGGCAACAGCAUGGACUGCAGCCAGGCCACCUGCCCCCUGGAGCCCGCGGACGCCACCACGUUUGAGGACUGCGUGUGCGCCACGAACUGCCGCGGCGCAGUGAUGAUCGCGCAGUGCGCGGUGGGCUACAGGCAGUGCGACCAGAGCUGCGUGCCCUUGAUGCAGACUGGCUGCCCCAGCUCCUGCUACCUCAAUGUAAGCCUGGGUUCUAGCCGCCUGGGGUGGGCUUUAAACCUUACUUUGGAGUUGCGAGGCAAGGGUUGGCAGUCGUGUAGUCAAGUGUCAUCAAGUCUGUGGGAGUAGUCCGGGGCCCUGCUGCUGCCGGGAAGUCAGGCUGUGCACCAGCAGCCUGUCAGGCAGGGGUGCCGCUACUAGUCACAGCCUCUCUUGCUGCCGCACCCAGUAAAUUAGGGCCCCUGCCGCAACACGCACGAUGACUCACCUGCGGCGACUCACCUGCGGCCCAAUGUGCCCCUGCCACCUCCCCCCCCCACCUCAUCCACCGCCCACCCCUGCAGUUGGCGUUCUACACCUACUGCCGGUGUUCACCGGCCGAGGUCGCGGAGUGCGUGCAGUCGGUGGUGGAGGCAGUCAAACAGACCUACCUGCAAGUGUGCGCCAAGCUGCCGCGCCGGGAUGGCAGCCCCGUCAACGCAUUGCCGCCCCAAACCUGGGAGCCCGCGCCCGCGCCCAUCCAGCCGGAGCCGGAGCCAUUCCCUGAGCCGGAGCCGUCCCCUGAGCCGGAACCGUCCCCUGAGCCGGAACCCACCCCUGAGCCGGAACCGUCCCCUGAGCCGGUGCCAUCAUCUUCUCCCUCGCCUACCCGCUCGCCCUUACCUUCGCCUGCUGCUUCUCCAUCACCCUCCCCAUCCCCCAAGCCGUCGCCCUCCCCGGCCCUCCGGCCACCGCCCCCUUCCCUAAGCACCCCGGAGCCUGACGCCCUCUACGGCCCGCCUCCAGCGUGGGAGGACGCCUCUCCGCCGCCGCCCUCCCCACGGCCGCCACGCCCGCGCCCGCCCAGCCCCAAAGCCUCACCGCCGCCCAGCCCUCAGCCCUCUCGUACUUCACCCAGCCCCGUGCCUCUCCUUCCUCCCCAGAGCCCACAGUCCCCGGAUCUGCCUUCUCCCGCCGAGCCUCCCAGCCCCGAGCCACCCAGCCCCGAGCCACUCACCCCCGAGCCACCCAGCUCUGAGCCACCGUCACCUGAGCCGCUGCUGCCGCCCCAGAGCCCCAGCUAUGGACAGCCCACGCCGGCCCCUUCCUACAGUCCUGCUCCCCCGUACGGCGGCUCGUACCCGCCUUCGCCUGUGUACGGGCCGUACGGUGGCGUUCAGCCGCCACCGCCUGCUGCUUACGGGUCGUACGGCAGCCCUCCUUCGCCAGUGUACGGCGGUUACAGCUCAAGUCCGUCCCCCUCCGCAGCUUAUGGGUCCACCGAUACGAACCGUCCGCCUCGGCCGCCACGCAAGCUCCAUUCCCGGCCGCGCCCCGUGCCGCAGUGAGGGGCUAGGGGCGUGCUCCCGAACAUGCAUUUGAAUGAAUUGCAUGGUACCACGCAGCAGGUGCAGGCAAAUACAAUACGGUAUUCGUACAUAUAGAGGAAUGCCGCACAAAAGCGCAUUCGCAUGUUGGUGUGUGCGUGAGGUUGAGCAGUUUCGAGCAGGGCUUUCCUGUACAUACUUCAUCUGUACAUACUUCAUCUGUCUUCAUCGGUGCGGAACUGCAUUGAGCAGGCCAGUAGCGGGAGCUAAUCAGGGAUCCGCGGGUCGCCUCCGCCUCGAAGCAUCUUAUUUAUCACCGUAUUGAAUGUAAGCAUGGUGUGGGCCUGAGUAACAGCUCUAUGUCCAGAGCAGUCCAGAACCGUGUGCAUGUCUCUGGGUGUCCAAUCCCAGCAGCGCCGGCCUGUAGCCUUUGCCCGGUAGUCGUGUUUAUAUGUGGGUGUUCCUAUGGUGGUACGGGGGGGUUGGCUGCACACAGGAUCAGUACAUUCACGGACACACGCAUGGACACGCAUGACGUACAACGCAUGGUGUGGAGCGGGGGACGGAGGUUCGCUGCGAACGUUAUGAGCUGUAUGGGGCGGAUGCAAUGACAUACUGUAGUGGGUGGCGCAGCGGACCACGCAACAAACAUUUGCAGGAUGGCACAUGAGCAUGGCAUCUCCACCUGACGAGGUUGCCGCACGGGGUUGCCGGUCAAGGGAGCUGCACCGGGUUGUGGUGUUGGCAUGCAACUCGGGCGUCAGGUGCCACGGGCUGUAACACGUAUUUCGGUAUUUGUGACAAGACACCAACCAUGGUGCUUACCCGUGUCCCCCGAGCCUGAACGCCACCAAUCAGUCACUGGGAGCCCCAGAUUGGCAGGCCUGCAAGGCAAUUGCGGUAGUUGAUGUCAGGCGGCGCCGCUCCCCCAAGGCUGGUUUCGCUUCCCCCUUCGGCCCCAACCCAAUGUCCACUUCCGUAGGCCCAGGGACAUGUCAUCCUGGAAAAUUGGAAACGCGUUGACUUACACUCGGCUGGGUUCUUCUUCUCGAGGGGGUAUCGCGGAGAUAUCCGAUGAAUGAUAGCUAGGGAGCUCUCCAGUGUCGAGUGACCAGACACACCCCUUCGCAUUGUACACGUAACCAGCAGGUGAAUCCACGAGCGUGCAGAGCAGCGUAUGUGCAGGUCCUGAUAGUGCAUCGCCAACAACAGUGCUCCCCAGUGUACCGGUAGGAACGCCACCGGGACCAGGGCAUGCCGGGACUACCGGGCCGGCCAUCAUUGCCACGACAGCCAUCUGCAGUAGGUGUGGCUCAGUCAAUGUUAUUGAUACACAUGUAACACAAGUAUCUUACUAAGCUAUAUUAUAACUGCAUUAUAAAUCGAACGAACGCGUAAGAACUUCCGAUUCCGCCACCCACGACGACCUCGUUCACAGUCACUUCACAUUCUGCGUCCUUACGCUUCCCAAGACUCGUCACUAAAACCAACAUCCAGCUGCAAAUCACAGCGCACUGCACGAGUCGGUCGUCGACUCACUUGGCCGCGAUGGCGUCGGUCGCGCACUCGCACUCCCUGUCCACACCCGCUGUCACCCCUAAACGCUGCUGCCUUAGCGCUCUGACCUCGCCGCUAGCUCGAUGCAUCGGGCCGCUGGGCCACGCAGCGGCUUCUCGGGCAGCGCCGACGUCCCACGCCUCAGCAAGCUCUGGUCCCGCGCUCUCAGUGCACGCCUCCGUUUUAACGCCCCAGCCCGCAGCUCUGGUAACACCGCGUCCCCAGUCGCCAGCAGUCCCUGCGCCUCUCGCACCGACUCUCAGGUCACUGCUGCUCUCCGCAGCCUCCAGCUUGCCGUGCACGCUGCUGGCAGCAGCUGCCUGCUCCGCUGCGGAGCGCUCGGCCUCCGCCGCCGCCACCGCCGCAGCACCAGCAUCAGCAUCAGUGGCAGCAGCACUGACGUUUGAGCCUCGGGCACCGGAAGCGGGCGUGCUGGCAGCCCAGGUGCUGGUGCUGCUGCUGACGGCGGGCGCUGGCGCGUACUGGUGGUACGUGGUGGUGCCGACGGAGCGCGCGGCGGUGGGGCGUAGCAAGCGGCUGGGCGCCCUCAACAACUACCUCGGAGAGCUGGAGGCGCCGCAGGCGACACAGGAGCGCAAGUGGGUAUGCUAUGGUGAAAAUGUGGGCUAAGGAGCUAGGGAUGGAGGGACGGUAGGAGUGAGACUGGACGGCGGUCGUGGUGGGGGGCGCGGGUGCAGGUUCGGCUAACAUAGUGGCAACGAGACAGCGUGGGCGGACCCGGCUGUGCUUCCGGCAUGCUCUUGCCUCAGCCUCCCAUGCACGUUAUCCUUUGCCGCCCAGACUGGAGCGCUGGUUCUACACCGACUGGCUGCAGCAACGCGAGAAGCGCCGCCAACGGCUGGGCAAGCCUGCGGCGUCAGCCGCCGCUGCCGGCUCUGCGGCAUCUCCCGCCGCUGCCUCUCCCACGGCAACCCCUGCCGAUGCCUCCGAUGGCGGGGCCCCGAGCCCAGAGGACCCGUACACUGGCGAGCACGUGCCGUACAGCGAUGACCUGCUGCGACCCACUGUGGAGACGCCCACGCCGCGCUUCUUGUCCCUGGACAACCCGUUGGUCGCCACGGCGGCGCUGCUGACGCUGGUGGGCGUCGUGUCCACGCUUUUGCAUGGGUAAUGGGUGUGAUGAAGUGGCCUAGGGUCGUCAGCGCCCCAAGGGAUACAUUGCGGCUUUUCGUGUCCACUGGGUAGGUUGGGUAGAUAAUCAUGCGAACAGUGUGUAUCAAAGAUAGAAGUGCCGAGUACCCCUGCACCUGGCUUUCGUUCUCUUUGUACGUCAGGACGAUGAGAAAUGCUUGCUAAUACGACGUAUCAGUGGUGGGGGCUCAGCCUGCUGUGUUGAUGCUGUGUUGAGAGUGGGCAGUGGAGGCGUGCAGGGAGCGGCUGCGUAGAUUAACACAGGUGUCCUUGCUAGGACUGUGGGCUACGAGGAUGGGGGUUGUCUCGCUUGGAGCGCAAGUGGCGUGAGCAAGGCUGCAAGGGCUGUGCAGUGUGCAGUGCCUGGCAGUGUUUGUGAAGGCGUUGCGGCGUCGGCACGUGCACACCUGAUAUGAAGGCUACUACCACAUGGGAAAUGCAAGCCACCUAUGUGAUGCACGUUUGUGAUGCUACCGUUGCUAUUGUAUAGGAGUAGGACUGGCACGACGAGAGGAUAGUAACGAACGGGGCAAGGCAACGGGGAGCAUGUCAUUGGAGUAUGGAAAGUAGCGACACUCAGCGACUGGACUUGCCGGCUAGCGGGCACUGGCGCUGAGCAGCAGGAGACACAUGGCAAUCGCUUGCAGAGCUACACAGGCAUGAACUGCAAGGUCACUAGAUGAGGCAGGCUUUGGCGGCCCGGGUGUAUCACGCCCGGGACAGAGGAAUACCCACAGCUGCAACACUAUUGUAACUCAAUAUCGAGCACCGACGAUGCACCGUGGUUGCUGCCCGCACACCCACAUUAAGCCCACGCAACCCCGUGGCCCACCGCAGCACCACCGAACGCUCGACGUUGCACGCAAAUGGCGGGCUCUCCCCGUCGGCUACCACUCUUGGGCUGCUGCAGGGAAUUCCAGUAUUUUACUUACCUGCUGGUCAACGGUCCGGCUGGGUGUGCGAUGGGACAGUUGUAAGGCAGGUUGGUGAAGUCCCGUAGGGUGCCGCUGGAUGUGCGAUGGGACAGUGGUAAGGCAGGUUGGUGAAGUCCCGUAGGGUGCAGCUGAUUCCCAGAACCCAACAGAUGGCACACAAUUGGCAACGGCAGGGCAUGAGUGCGCGGCUGGUCGAACGCCGGGGUGAUUGUACCGACGAGUUGCUGGCUGGCUGGAAGGGUGCUGAAGCGCAUUCCGGUCCAGCUCGGUAGCGUUCCCAUGUUCCGAAUCCUUGCCGCCCUCGCACACCCUAAAGCAUCCCCUAGUCCUUGGCCACCACGAAGCGGCUGACUGGCUGAUUCUCAGAUACCCAUCCCACCUUCAAAGCGAAACCCACAGGCACAGGUACAACUCAUGUCGCGUUGACUUACACUCGGUUGGGUUUUUCUUCUCGGGGGUGAGAUAUCUGAUGAAUGAUAGCAUCCGAUCUCUCCAGUGUCAAGUAACCAUGCCUAACCCUGAUGCCUAGGGUAUUGUACACGGUGCCGCCACGUAACCAGCAGGUACGGGCUAAUUAUUGUGAAGUCACGCGCGUUUGGGGGAAACCAAUAGCAGCGUAUAUACAAACGCAAAACCGCAUAACCUCAGAACACCAGCAAAACUGAGACCCAAAAGUCUCAAAGAAUGUCCUUGCGUCAUGCGAUCACGCUUGGCUUAGCCACACACCAACAACACACACACACACACUCUCAUUGCACUCGCUCAAACACCAACAAACAUCACACACGGCUCAGAUCGACGAGCGCCUCCAUUUACACGGAGCGCUUGUUGGCGGGCUGGAAGUCGCGGGCAGUCUUGGGGCGCUGGACCAGGAAGCCCAUGAUCUGCACCUGCUUCUGGUUGUCGAAGGCCACCAGGCGCACGUAGGCAUCGGGGAAGGCCUUGGUGCAGGCGACGAUCUCGCGCAGCACCUGCAUGGGGUCGCGGCAGCCGAACAUGGGCAGCUUCCACAUGGUCCAGUAGCGGUUGUCGUAGUACAGCUGCGGGCGCACGGGAAAUGGGAGGGAGAAGAGGUUCAGUCACCAGCGCACAGAACCACCAAAGAUGGAAUUGGGCCCCUUGCUUUUCCGUGCUGAAGCACGAGCAGGGGUAUGCGUCAGUUCCCCGCGGUGAGAUAGGCGCUGUCCCGGUGCCAAGCUAACCCAGUGCCACAGUGGACCCGUCUGGCUCUCGCUCCGACUUACGCAAGACACGCUGCCGAAGCGGAUGGCCGACUCGUUGGACACGUAGGCCUUGUCGGCCUCAGCGAACUCCAGGCAGGGGAUCCAGCCUGCAAGCGACAGCACGAAGGGGGUAAGAUAAGUGGCCGACGCAAGCAGUCCAGGGCUAUCCCAGAUAAGGGCGGAUGACAGGCAAACUAUACAGCAGACAACGAACAAGCUAAUCUCAAGCUUCGAGCGAUCGUAAUGUCGCAGUCUGCAGCUACGCCCUAGAUCGUAUUAACUAGCUCUCAAACACAGCCCAGCUACAUAUGCCCACGGCACCAAGCCGUGCUCACCGUUGGCGACGAUGUAGUCGACCUGGGCGGCGAUCUGCUCGUCGGUCAGAGGAGGCAGGUAGGAGAAGGUCUCGAACAUCCUGCGAUCACGCGAUUGACCAGUACUCGUUAGAAGUGGCAGAGCACGUGCGAUGUGAGGCAGCAGGCUGGGCCCCAAGCAAUUGCGUCGCGACUUGCAGAAUCCCUAUCCUUCGGGCUGCGCUUGCUCGUCGACUCACUUGUUGUUGACCGGGGUCCAGACCAUCAUCUGGUUGGCCUGAGCCGGGGCAGCCACGGGGGCAGCCUUGACGGCGGGCUUCAGCGCGGCCAUGGGGCGCACGCUGGAGCGGGCCGGGCGAGCCACGGCCGCGGAGACGGAGGACUUGGCAAUGACGGCGGCCAUUUUAGAUGUUUGAGAAAGUGGUCGAAUGAACGAGUAAGUUCUUGGGACAAAGACUCGGAGGUGGCCGGUCGCCGUUUUCAAUCCCCGCUCGCCGAUGACCCGUACGGCAGGCUUAUCCGACUCGUCGGCUUUCACGACCGCCCGAGCCUGCGCGCUUCAUCCGCUUCCGGAUAGCUUGCUACGAUAAUGCAUUAUUCAAUUUUACGACGCAAUGUCAUGAGCAGCGCCGGGCGGGCUUAUUUACAUGCGUCGCCUCGCUCGCCGUUGACUUGAUACUUUGGAAAUUCGGGCUCGAUUCGUUGCUACAGCCUGCCUUUUGCACACAAUGUGAACGUCGAUUCUACAUUUGUAUGUGACUGAACUUCGCGGCCCCUACUGAACGUUUCGUGCAAGCGACAUGUCGACUCACAACUUGGAGGAACGCGCGAGGGGUCCCCACACGCACUUUCAGCCUGCUUUGGCGAAAUGGACAUGAUAGGUAUAGCCAGGAUAUGGGUCUGCUAGCUCGCCUGGUGUUUUGACCGUCGAUCGGUUUCGCGUUGGGCCUUGCGGCUGCUCGCUCGCCGCGGAUGCUUCCGCACACUGCGCGGCACGUGUUAGUCUGUGCACGACGACGGUUUGUUUGUAUUGCGCCGCCAACGUUCAACGGUGGUGGUAGGUUCGAAUGUCAGAAUGUCGGGCACGGGGACCUUGGGCGCAUUGCCUACAAGCGCGUGCCUGUGUUUUUGGGGGGCAGAGAAGUGAGCCUGCCUAUUGGGUCACAAUAGCACAGAGGCGGGUGGCCAGCGUCGGGAACUGGUUCAGAACGGCUGCAGGGACAGCACCGUGCGUGCGUGUGUGUGUGGGGGGAGCCUUCAAAGUUGACGAGCUUCGCAGCGCUGGGAUGGACUGGCAUUGCGUGCUUGAGUUUGCGUCCCGUGAGAACCCUGCAGUUUAUGGCGGAGACAGGGAAGAGGGAAUGGGAUCGCGCCGGUGCAGGGAAAGGGCACGAAUCUGAGGUUACGGUAUCUGGGGGGAGGUGCCCAUGUGGGAGGGGAAGCCUAACUGCCUGUCUGGGUGCAGACCAGGAAUGGCAACACGUGAACGGUUAGUAGAGAGCUGUGUGCUGUUGGGCGCUCUCGGCAAGGGGCGUGGGAGGGGGCUGGGUUGGUGGGCGGCUGUCCGCACAGUGCCUAGCAGUGCGCACUCAGGCCCUUCGCAGACCGAAGAGGGCGCCAGGGCCUAUGCGCGCGUGGCUUGGCGUGAGGUUCUUGCUGUUGGCGUCAGGCGCCGCAAAAGGCCGGGUGGCUCUGCAGUGUCCUGCUCGCUUGGCGUGCGGCAAAGUGGUUCAGUCAGCGAGCGCAGUGUAUGCGUGUGUGCGUGUAUGCGUGUGCGUGCGUGUGUGUGUGUGUGUGUGUGUGUGUGUGUGUGUGUGUGUGGUUGCUGCGGAGAGGGCACGCAGCGACACGAGAUUGCCAUGCAGUGGUGCAAGCUGCUGGGGUCGGGUAAACGGGGUGGGAAAGUUGGUGAUGGUGGAAUGUUCUUGUGGCACGAACUGGCCUUGUGCGUAUUCGUUCGCCCCGUUCACUCUGGUCCACCAAUCCCACAGUCACUGCACUUAAAUGCCUAAAAGCCCCUGCUACGGUGCGGACAGGGUAAGGCCACGGCAGGUCUAAGUCCAUAUGCGCCCGUAGAGGUUCGAGUGCGUUAACCGGUCGCAAGGUGUUCACAACAUGUUGAUGUGUUGACAACAUGGCUGUGGUCAAGACGUGCCCUGCGAACUUCCCGUGUUUACAUGUUAAUAGAGCUCGCUGACAGCAGUCAUUUGACACCAUUAUGGAAGAAAACAGAGGGGAUUUAGGGGGUGUACGGCACGGUAUGGCACGGUCGGUCGUCGGUCCGGGGGGUCGGGGGGUUCUGCAGGGUGGGGCCUGGAACUAUUGUUCGUACACCCCCGCCUGGCUCCCCUGCUCCCCCUGACUAACCCCUGACCUCUGGCUUUCUUCGCUUUCCUUUCAGUGUCACCAAUUCUCAUGAGUGGGGGCGCACCCCGAAAUAAGCGGGUACGGUGCUUCAGUUCAGUGCUUGCCACGGCCUCAAGAGCCCCAAACCACGUGCACCGAAAUUCGCUUGCACUCCAAAUGCACUGGGAAGCCAGUAGCAGCGCGCUCUCAAAUGCUGGCAUGUGUCUCUCUCUGUCCAGAGCCUGAAUGCGCCAAGUCUGCUACGGUAGGAGGGUGCAACCCGUGGCCCGCCUUGAACCGCGCUUGCACACACAGCUGGAUUGCUGCUGGCAUGACCGUGUGAAAGAGGUACAGGCAGCCGGGCAAGUCCCAGCGGGCAGGUUGGUGUAGGCUAUGCCCCAUAACAGGCCCGUGCAUGCUGCCACGGACUUCUCGCCAGGAAUGUAAGUCCCGAUGCUAGACAAUUACUCCAGCAGCUGCAUGCCGCCAUCUUCAGUACUCGGUAUCCCUUGGUGCACGCAAGUCAAGGAUCAGUCCCAGGGCUCACCCUGGAGCAAUGCAGCCUGCGUGUGCACCUGCGAUGGAGCCGCGGCCUGCGGUAUUGGCUGCCCGAUUACGAAGCUGCGGGUGGGGGCAGUUGGCACGCAUUCCGCCACAGACCCCGCGAGCCUAGCCGCACCCAAGCUCUAAGCGGCCUAGACCGUGACCAAAGGCGAAGAAGCCGCGGCCAUCCCUGCGCUCAGAUUGCAUUGGUUACAAGAGGGACCUGCUGACGCAGUUCAUGGCUUCAUGCGCUCAGAGCCCGAGCCCUGAGCGGCAGCAAAAGCAGAAGCCACGCUACGUGUGCUAGCUACGACCAAUGCCUUGUACAGCUCUCCUCGGCUGCGCUCUUCGGCUGCGCUCCUCGGCUGCGCGGGACAGGGGACUCCGUGCAACCACUAUUGCUUAUAGCCUGCACCAGUCAUUGACGAGUGUUGCGGAACUAAUGCGUACGUAGACCAGAGCGGAAGGCGGAGUGGGCUUGCAGGCGGCACGAGAGUAGGCAGUCAGUAGCGCAAGUUGCGAAUUCCCAUGUUACCUCGUAACCGACGGUAAACGCUGUGGACGGUCGCGCCCAUGGCUGGCUGACGGAAGCUGGCUGCGGUAUUGGGAUGGCUGGGCUGGAUGACGCCGGCCGGGCUGGCGUUGGGACUACCAGAAAGGAUGCGCCCGAAACCAACCUGGAGAACACCAGCGCCACCGGUGCCCAGCACGACAUGUAAGGGAGGGAGGGAGGGACAGGAGGCGUGAUGCACUGCAGCGUAGAAGCUGCAGUCAUGGGCACAGCUUGUACCAUACAGCACGGUCAUCAAGGACACAAUGCCGGAACGGCAUCAUACGAGGCGGGGUUGGGAGCUGCAGGAAGUGGGCAGCGGGGCAGAAUCAAAGGUUUGCAUCGUUUAGAACAGGUGCGGAACACGCGCCAGCGCCAGCGCGGAGGACCCCAAGUAAGGCCUUUACUCACCAAUGUACGUUUUGUACACCCAAUCUCGCCCCCUAUCGACGUUGGCACUAGGUAGCUGGCUAUCAUUCUAUGCAGAUUAAGCAAAGGGGCACCGGGAACAACUGACUCAUGUUCGUCACUGCAGGUUACUGCAAAUGCUGUCUCCACCUUUGCUGCACGGUUCCGUUUCGUCACGUUUGCUGGUGUUGCUACCCGCCGUUCUUUAGUGUGUAACUGAUCUGCGAACCGAGUCCCCUUCAGCUGAUGAACCCCGCAGCAACUUUUCCAAAAGCGCUUCAAAUACGCCCAGCCCGCCCAUGGAGAAAGAGGCCAAAAUCAACGGAGGAUCGUUACAACCAACAAAAUUGCAAAACUCCUCCGCUUUUUACGUGUUGAAAAAGACUGAUCAGCACGAAACGGGGAGCUAAGCUACCGCUUCAGCACUUGAGAGCAGUAUCUUCCAUCCACCGCCGUUCGUCAGGGGGCAAGGCUCAGAUCAACGAGCGCCUCCAUUUACACGGAGCGCUUGUUGGCGGGCUGCCAGUCGCGGGCAGACUUGGGGCGCUGGACCAGGAAGCCCAUGAUCUGCACCUGCUUCUGGUUGUCGAAGGCCACCAGGCGCACGUAGGCAUCGGGGAAGGCCUUGGUGCAGGCGACGAUCUCGCGCAGCACCUGCAUGGGGUCGCGGCAGCCGAACAUGGGCAGCUUCCACAUGGUCCAGUAGCGGUUGUCGUAGUACAGCUGCGGGCGCACGGGAAAUGGGAGGGAGAAGAGGUUCAGUCACCAGCGCACAGAACCACCAAAGAUGGAAUUGGGCCCCUUGCUUUUCCGUGCUGAAGCACGAGCAGGGGUAUGCGUCAGUUCCCCGCGGUGAGAUAGGCGCUGUCCCGGUGCCAAGCUAACCAGUGCCACAGUGGACCCGUGUGCCAAAAGCUAACCCAGUGCCACAGUGGACCCGUCGGGCUCUCGCCAGACUUACGCAAGACACGCUGCCGAAGCGGAUGGCCGACUCGUUGGACACGUAGGCCUUGUCCGACUCAGCGAACUCCAGGCAGGGGAUCCAGCCUGCAAGCAAGGGGAUGAAGGGUGCCGCGAAGGGUGAACGAGGGACAAAGACACGGACAGGAACCGGAUAAGGGGCGGCUUGACCAAGAACUCACGCUCCGACCGCUACUUCGGCAACCCAAAUAAGUGAUUCCACGCUAUGGCUCUGUCGCUGUCGUAUAGCCCGGCUGGUAGCAGCUGGAAAGCUCAAGUGAGGCUGGACAAGCCGCGCUGGCAUGAGUGCAAGCUGUUUGCCCAAGAAAAAGCCGCCGAAAGCCCAGGCUGACUGCAGAUUCCUGACUUGGGCACUGUUCGUUGCUGGAGUGUUGCUCGCAACCCCGCAAGCUCACCGUUGGCGACAAUGUAGUCGACCUGGGCGGCGAUCUGCUCGUCGCUCAGGGGGGGCAGGUAGGAGAAGGUCUCGAACAUCCUGCAAAUGGAAACGGCGACGCAGGGUUAGAUGCUGCUUGAGACAGCGACAGAGGAGCCAAAAGCCUUCGUCGACACAAUGCGGGCGUUGCAAGUCAAAUCUGCAAGCACGCUGCCUGAUCCGCCGGGCUUGCUCGUCGACUCAC
This 64045-nucleotide long non-coding RNA is filed under the name Chlamydomonas reinhardtii. RNAcentral describes it as "long non-coding RNA (CREI_LNC000175)". Lineage: Eukaryota; Viridiplantae; Chlorophyta; Chlorophyceae; Chlamydomonadales; Chlamydomonadaceae. The record is from RNAcentral.